UCUCACCCGCGGGUUUAUUUCAGCCUCUUUAACCGGUUUAAGUCCGUUUUUAGCGCCGUUCGUCGGACUCUUUUAUCCGGGUUGUUUACCGGAGUGAUCCGCGGAUCGGCGGAGUUUAUCCGGCCAACAUCCGAGAGGAUUUCUGGGGGAUUGUUUCUAUUCCUGUGUGGAAGUUGGGAGCCUGAAUCCUGGAGGAAUUAUCAGCAACUUUCUGACUGACUGACUGAGGAUGGAUCCGUGAGUACAGACUGUCAGAGUUUCUGUUUGUUUAUUUAAGGAGAGACACAGAGCCGCCGAGCUCCCGUUUUCUUCUCUGUGGGUUCAGCGUUAAUAUCGGGAUUAAUAUCGGGAUUAAUAUCGGGAUGAAUAUCGUGAGCAGAGGACUCUUGUUGAUUUGUGUUGAGCUGUGGAUGUGGGACUGGUUGAUUAAACAGAAUUUUUUAGUUUUUUUCCCCAGUUGUGGACAGACUUUAAAGGGAUAUUCCGGUGUAAAAUAAAUUUAAGGUCACCGCCAAACAUCUUUUUAACUUUGACCAAUUUCUUUAGCAAAGAGACUAAACACAACUCACCUACUCUCUUCCAGCAGCCGCUUGUUAGCGACUCCAUUGACUACAGCGGGGUGCCGCAGCUCAAGGAAGAACAUUUAUGAUUAUUAGUUUAUUCAAUAUUUUCUUUCACUUUUUAAUUGGAUGUUUAUGUCGCUGAGAUAACCACUCUUAAAGUCUGUUAAAUGUGUUCGUCUGAUUUUUAUUGAGUUGUCUGAGAUUUUUCGGAGCUCAUUAAAAUGUUUCCGCUCUUUAGUGACAUGUACUGUAUUUUUCGCACUAUAAGGUGCACCUGAUUAUAAGGCGCACCAUCAAUGAACGCGUCUAUUUUCUUACAUAAGGGGCACCGGAUUAUAAAGCGCAUUUAGCCAAACAAAACAGAUAAGUCAAACUUUAUUAAACUCAUUCAAUAACUCAGUGAGGCUACACUUAAAAAGAUUUUAAAUGCGCCUUAUAGUGCGAAAAAUAUGGUAUUUGAAAAUCAUGGUGCUGUUCUGUAGUUGACCUUUCGGGCUACCGUACACUGAACCCUUCCUUCUCACCCACUCUUCUAAGAAACAGUCAAACUUAAAGCAGAAAAGACUUGAAACCUUCGUUUCUCGAUAAUCUGUUCUAGAAGAAUGAAGGUCCCCGAUAAAGACCUUCUCCCUCUUAUUGCUUUGGAUAAAUCAGGUGAAAUUAAACCCCAAACUCCUGCAGUCGGAGUGAAAUUAAAGCAACACAGAUGAAGUUUAAUCAGGAGUGGUUAAAGAAGCUGGGGCUCACGGUCGCGGGGGGAAUGAGGGGAGGAAAAAAACAGGUGUGUUUUAAUGAGGGACUGAGGAACAGGUGCGCGGAGUCAGGUGAUAAAGGGAGGAGAGGGAGGCAUAAAUCUGGGGACGGUCGCAGAUGGAGAGGGGGUGGAAAAAAACCUAACGUCCCACAAAUGUAGAUUCAUCAACUCAAACAUAAUUAAAUACACAAAGAACUGCAAUAAAAACUCAUGUGAACAUCUUUUAUAUGUAAUUAUGAAAAAAAAAAAAACAUGAUCUCGACUUCUUGACUUUUCUGUAUGAUUAAAAAAAAAGCAUUUCAGUGAUUUCUUUCUUUGCUGGAAGCUCCGAGACUAAACUGUGUGUGCAUAUGUUUGAGACGGGAGGUUUAAAUUGGUUUAGCCACGAGGAAGAGGAGCGGGAAGAGUCUGAGUGAAUAUAUUUAAACAUAUAUAUGUGUGUGUGUGUGUGUGUGUGUGGGCCCAUUAAAAGCCUUCUUCCCGCCCUAAAGGAAGAAAUCAGUCCUGCUCUAAUUUAUGCGGUCACACACCUUUAAAAUGAAGCCACGCACACACACACACGGUGGGGGGUGUGACAUUAAGACAGUAGUGAAGAAUGCCUUCGCCCUCAUGAAUACUAACCACUCUUAAUCCGUCCCCUCAAGUAUCCGGCGGCCUGUUUGUGUGCGUCUGUAUUAUGCUAACGCCUCGAAAUGAAAUAUGGAUUUCUGAUUGAAUUUUUCCGCCUGUUUUUCUGCGGACAGGAGGAAAAACCAGUCGACACAGUAAAUCAAAUGAAGUGUUUGGUGGCGGAGCUGGCAUUAACAUUUAAAUGGUGUGUUUGGAUUGUAUUUGACUCCUGUAUGAGUUUCACACUCUGGUAUAUAAAGGCCGUCAAUGAGGAUAAGAAACGCGUGAAAUUACCUUCACACACCUGUUAGCUCACCUGAAGGAGCGGCGUGAUCUGAAAUCUGAUUAAAUCAGACGGAUGAGUUUGACUCUGAUCGCCCCCCUACACACUCCCCCUUCCGUUUGCGCGUCCCCACGGAGGCGCCGCCAUAACCACAGAGUGCGGAGGGCGAGUGGACCGUUCAGCACUCGAAUAACGAUUCCGCACCUGUGCUCACUCAUGGCAGGAUUUGCAGGUAGUGUGCCGGCAAAAAUGGAACAGGGGGAAACAACAUACAAAUGUAAGUUCUGUUUAAUUUUAUUUAUAUUGUGCUUUACAUCUGAGAAACUGAUCUCAAAGUGCAUACAUUGUAGAAACAAACAAAAAAAAAAGGUCUGAGGUGGUCAGGAAGGUCGUUCCACAGACGGGGAGCAGCAGCCUCAAAGGCCUUGUCACCCGUGGUCUUGAGCGGAGUCCUGGGCGGGUGCAGACGGUGCAUUUGGCCUGACCGGGUUCUGGCCGAGGUGUUUGGGGUGAGGAGUUCAGUGAGGUAGGUGGGGGCAGCACCGUGAAGACAGCAACGGGUGUGGAGGAGGGUUUUGAAUUCGAUGUGAAGGGGGACGGGGAGCCAGUGCAGAGUGCAAAGGUCCACCUUUGUCUCACUGACAAACCCCUUCCCUCCCAAUAGACGUCUCACUCUGUGCUGAAGUUUGAGUUGAUUGGUCAGGCAAAUGUCAAAUAGCAAAGGGGUUCAAAGACGUGUGGAAUCACUAACAAUCAGAAGUUUAAUUCCGCUCCUGUCACUGUAAUGGUUGCUGGAUUUACAAUUUCAGAGGGACAAUGAAAAAAUGAGGCAGCCGGUGCAACUCAGAACUGAACAUGAUGCCAUGAUGCGUCCCAUACCUGCCCAUCUUGUUUAUACCCUCGGAUUUCAAUUGAGGCGCACUCCACAGCUGAGUGUGUAGGAGGUGGAUUAGGAUUGGGCCUUAGUCUGGUUCUGCUUUACCAUUCCCCUUCAGCUCGUUACUUUUGGGAGGACUGAUCAGCGAACAGAGGAAAACUAGUUCACAGGGUCUGCCCAAAGUGGACUCUGCUGGAUUUGAAAGCUUCUUUGAGGACAGGGUAAAGCCAUGGAAACUCGACCGGAAGCGUAAUGAUCUUGAUUCUAAUUAGCAGACGUUCUGUCAUGGCAUCGGCUGAUCAGAGGAGAACAUGAAACAUCCUCCACACAUCACGGGGAAUCAAGAACAUCUUCGAAACAGAGAGAGAGAGAGAGAGAUACCCGAGGAGGAGAAGCGCUCCAGGCUCCUGAUCUGACGCUGUAUUUGUCUCCCAGAAGAGACACAAAGAAAGUCUGAAGCUGCUCAGCAGGUGGUGCAGCGGCGCUUUAAUCUCCUGACAGACCUGAUGACGGCUGAGGUGUGCCUGAGAGUGGAUCCUGGAGUCCCUCAGCUUCAAAGAAGAUCCGGUCUCUUCUCCCAUCACUCAUAUCAUUACCUCUCAUUUCUCGCACCAAAAAGCCUAAUCAUCAUUUACGCUCUCGCCCACGGCUCUGAACGGUCCUCCUUUUAUUUCCUGUCCUCUCUGUUCCUUCCACUCUCUGCUCAACAUACGUUCACGAACAAAGACAGGCAGGUUCAAACACCAGCGGGGCGACGGGGGAUCUUCCAUACAUCUGGUCUGUACAGGGAUCCUCCAUGACAUGAUGAGAAAAAUCAAAAAGUUUGAGUUUGAGCCUACGGCAGAAACCACGAACACGGCCUUCAGAUCCUUUGACGUCAUUAACCUGCGAUGACACAGCUUCAGUCCUUCAGUACUUCCUCACUCUUCCUGCGGGAGCCGGUAAAUGUUCAGGUUCGAGGCCGAGUCUGUGAACUCUGAUCGUCAUGACGACGUGGAGGCUGGAGCCACAGAGACCAUCAGGCCUUGACAGAGAGGUUCCUUCUAAUUUGCUCCCCGGAGAGACGCGCCCAUGGACUUCAGUGGACGUCUCCGAGGUGCAUAAUGCGUUUAUGUUUCCAAUCGUUUCUUAAUGAACGGCGCUCUCAUGUCGUCGUACUUCCUCUCUCGCACGACAAAAGAAGAGUGAGUCAGUGUGAGAGAGAGGACCUUCAGGGUCUAUCUGAGGUCAACGGCCUUGUCAACCUCCUGCAGCGCUCCUUUAUUCCCUUCAACACACGAGGACUGAAGUGGACUGGCCUGGGCCGGUCCACAAUCUCAGCUGUGUUUGAAACAACUUUAUAUUUCUGUGCAGAGAAACUCAGGAACGUGUUAUUCUUGACCCGAGUUUCCUGAGGGCAUGCCUUUUCCUUUUCAAGAGGAGUUAGCGGCAGGGUUGUUGUUUAUUUUCCUUUUAUUCUUGCAGCCUGUGAUAAGCUGGAACCGUGUGAAUCAAAAGGGUAAAGUGGCCUAUUGAAAUGUCUCGUGUCUAAGAACAGCAGAAGGUCUUGAACUGUGAGUGGGAGUCUCCAAGCGUACCUGCCAUAUCGAUUUGCGCGGCAGAACAACGAGUAAAAGAGCCGGAUGAAGUUAAUCUCUGUGAGCAGAUUUCUGCAUAUGAAUAAAGACACUUUGGUAUCAGAGGCGUUCAGGUCUCUUUCUGUCGUUUUCUGUUCUGAGGGUUUGAUGCUUUUAAGAACAGCAACGUCUGGAAAAACACCGACUUAGAAAAAAAACUCAUUUUUCCUGCCGAAUCAAAAACAAAGCCGUUUAUUCAAAGACAGUGAGUGCUGGCGCUAAAGGAAACCAAGGGUAAUGAUCUUAUUCGACCUUUGAAUGAUACUAUCCUGGGAUUACUGACAGCGGUAAUUGCGAGAACUCACAAGAACCUGCGGAUUUACGUGCAAUCGCGCAAUAACAAGUUGUCUGUAACCAUAAAAGCAGUAGAUUGUGUCCUUCUUACUUCCUUUCCAGCACGGGUUAAUCUGUGCUGUUUUUCUACGCCAUGCUCUGGCGUCAGAAAAAAAAUAGAGCCCUUGCGAUCCGCAGCGGAAUGGAGAGAAGCCGAUGGAAAUUGACACGUGAAUGGUUACGAUCAGCCGAUACGGCCUUUUCGUAAACGUUCCAGAUGUGGUGGAAAUUGGGGGUUUCUCUGUCUCCAUGAGAUCUGCACGCCUGACUGUCUUCCUUUACUUUAGCUCCAAAUCAGGGCUCUCAUUAAAAACCUGCUCUGGUGAUUCUGACCUCCGAACAGACAUCAUGGAGUAAUGAUAAUGUCACUGGAGACUAAUUGGCCCCUAAUUAAGGGUUCCCGGUCUCAUGUGCAGUUUUCUGCAGACUUCCCAGCUCUUCUCGCGGCCCCUUGCUCGACAUCGUCAUUAAUUCAACAGGCUCGGCUUGAUUCCCCCGAGGAGUGCUCGACAUGAGAGCCUCACUCAGAUAUGAAGUUUGGACCUGAAGGAGGACUGUUGAGGAUAAUAUGAGGGGACAGAUGGAGUCUGACUCUGCAUGUAGAACAAUCCGGGCCAAGACUGGGUGCACGGCUCACAGAGAAAUCCAGGUCUGAGGAGCUGCAGUGCAGGUCCAGUUAUGAAGAGUGGGACUCAGAUCAGAAGUCAAGUGUCUGAGAGUUUUAUUUCUGUGAAUACGCUUUAUUUUCAUUGGACGCUGGUUUCCAUGGAGCCAACUCUCUUCCUCUUAUCCAGGCUCUCUCUGGGCCUCGCGUCCCUUUACCUCCAUGAGGAUCCUGAAGCAUUCCCAGCCCACUUAAUACAUCUAAUCCCUUCAGCAUGUCCCUGAUCCAUCUUGGGUUCUGGUCUCAGUUGGACAUGCCUGGAAAUCCUCCAAAGACAGGGACCCAGGAGACGCUAAAAUAAGGUGUUUGAACUUCCUCCUGGGGAAACUCUCUCCAGCUCGUUUCUCAGAUCUCUGCGCUCAUGACUACGGGGAAGACUGGGAUGUAGGUCAGACCCAAGCUUUACCCAGCCCCCUCUUUUGAGUUAAAACCACCGCAGCAGGUCUUAGUUUUGUCAUCCUGACCGGCGAAGAACAGGUGACCCGAGGAUACUUUAAUCCUUUCCUUGAGGCAGUGAUUUAUUCUCCAGGGUGGAGCCAUAGCCUGGGGAGGGGUUUAAGGAGAUAACCCAUCUUCACUGCCUCAGGUGAAAAUCCCCACAGAGCUCCAAGGAGGCCGCGGUAGUCUGAAACCAACCGGACUGUAUCAUCUGCAAAAGGUGGAGGCGCAAACUUAAAGUCCUGGUUGACGAUCUGAGAAGCAGCUGAAACAAACGGAGCCGUUGAGGCAGAGUUGGAAAAACGUCCCACCCCCCACACACAAACGAUAACUCUCCCCUGAACCUGUAUCGCCCUCCCCAUGACACACCCCCUCUGCACUAGCUUCAAAUAGGAUUCACCAUGUCGGAUUGUUAGUGACUAGCGGCAGUAAACGCCAGCUCUGCUAGCGAGCGCCGUCUGCAGCUGCCUGGACAGCUACCGUGUUGACAUGUCAGAGACUAAUCAGAGUUAUUUAUGUAACAUGAGCCGCGAUAAAAGGAGAUAAAAAUGACCUGUUCAACUAAAACUCUGCUGUCUCAGCGUCUGUUUUCUCCACUGCUCAAAGGAUGACCCGAUGGUUAUUCACGUUAGAUUCCUCGCUUGGUCACAUUUCCUCUUCGUCUCCGCCCUUUCUUCUGUCGGCUUGCGUUUUCUCCCCACUUCUGGCGGUGUGGCGAGCAGAAGUGUUUUUUUUUGCGUCCUUCUCCAUCACAGCUCCUGUAGCUAAGCUGCUACGCUACUUUUAGCCGCUCAGAGCUCCAAGGAGGGCCGGGAGAGUGGGAGGGGACGAGUCUGAACUACGGGAGAGAGGUGUGUCGAAUACAGCGAGGUGAUUGGAUGGAGAGGCGGAGCUGGAGAUUGACCAAUAGGAGCUGUCCGGGACGGAUGGCUCCCAUUGUUCAAUGUUUUUGCAGCUCUGUACCUGAUAGGGUGAACAGGGUGAACGGCAGUUGCUCAGGAAGUAGAAUGGUUGUCCAAUAACUGGAAGGUUGGCGGUUCGAUUCCCCCUAUCCCGAGUCUAUCCGUUGUGUCCUUGCGCAAGAUACUUAACCCACCUUGCUCCCAGUGUGUGUCCUCCACUGGUGUGUGAUUGUGAGUGUUGUGUGGUUGUGGCAGCCACGUUUCCGUCAGUCUGUGACUACUACGGUAGUUUACCGCCACCAGAGCGUAAAGAGCUUUGAGGGUCUCUGAUAAGGCGCUACAUGAAAUCUGAUGAACUAUUAAAAUUAUAAUUAGUAAACUAUCUUUGUGGCUCAUCAGGACUUUAUUCAAGCCUUUUGUGGGACAUGGAUUCAGGUGAGAUGAACCCCGGAUACCUCAGGACGCCUAAACACUGAUCCACUAGGACUGUCAAUCAACCUCAGGAUGGGGAACACGUUGUUGUUCCUGCUCCUUGUUUUUCCCUCUGGUGUGAAACUCCACAGACACUUUCACUUUUGUUUACAUAUUUUUUUUUUUUAUAGGACUGAGGAAUAAUUGAUCGUUUUUUGGCACAGGGAUCCUUCCAGUCUGGAUCCCUUUGAGCCAGGCUCGUGGGAAGAAGACAGAUCUGUCAGCAGUGUAGGACGUGUGCUCUAGUUUCUGUAGACGGGGAUAAUGUCGGUGUUAUGUAGGACAGAUCCAUCAUGGGUUCAGCCUGAUGAUGGAGAUGUGCACUUUCACCGAGGAGGGGGUUACGGGGUUAAUGUAACUGUUAUUCAACCAGCUACCGUUAUCUGAAUCCAGACCCAUUAGUUUAGGAGACAUGUUGGUUUCUUUAAAGACCUGUUGAGAGACGAGCAGGUGAAUGUGAAGGCGGUGUUUCUGUUUCUCUGGGUUAUACAUAGAAGGACGGAGUGGGAUGGAUGUGAACGUACAUUAAGGGUUUAUCUGUCCAUAUACGCUUCUUUCUGCACAUACAGCGUUUUUUUCUAUGAGCUGAAUAAACCCAAUCUUCUCUCUGUAAUUGAAAUCUCUGUGGGUGUAAGUUUCUACCCAUCACUGCUGUGUUGGCUCUUUAUUCCGUCUUCUCCUUCUUCCAUCAGUCCAGCUCUUUUAGAAAUCUCUCUCCAUCCUUGAAACACUUCACUGUCCACCUUUUGACUUCCACGCUCCUCUUCGUCUCUUUCUUAUUACUGUUUUUUUUCCCUCCUUUUACUUUCUUAAAUGUGGUGAUUUCAUCCUCGCUGAAAAGCGCCCUAUCACCCGUACCUUGGAAAAUUGCCUUAAUUAGGGAGGAUUUGUAAGUAAAUGAGACGGGAUAAUUACGCAUUAAAGUAAACAAGGAUUUAUGUUUGCUGAAGAUGCUUGAGCUUCCGCGACAUAAUGUACAAUUAUGUAAAUCAGUGCGGUCCCUGAUGGAGAGCUGAGGGCCCCGGUGUAGGACGCGGUGUGUGGAAAUCUGUUUUGAUAAAUGCUCUUCCAUUUCGGAGAGUGGUCUGCAUGUAUUCCCAGAGGAAAGCUUUCAGUUUCAUUAAAAACACAGAAAUGGACAAUCUGUUCAAAUUCGCCGUGCCGUUCUUAAAACUGUCUUCUUCGUUUCCGCGCCCCAUUUCUCAGCCUUUACCAAUUAAUUCUGUUUUGCUACACCAAAUAAAGAUAUUAAAACUCUAACGCUGCCGUCGGAGACUUCUGUAAUGAACUCUGAAUCUUUUUUUUUUCUUUGCGCAGCGUUCGAAAGCCUCCCUGGGGGGGAAACGUUGCACGGCCUCUGUAAAUUGGUUACCCUAUUAAGUUUUUCACGGUGGUCUCUUGAGGGAUCCAAUCAGAAGGAAAAACCACAAAGUCCUGCCCCCGGGACACGAGGAGGAAACAAACUUCUGGACCAGUCAGCGCUGUGAAAGUGUUCGGAAUCUCAAAUGAACUCGGCAAGUUCUCACCUUCGUGCUUACUCAGGUGUGAUCCCGCUCGGAAUCCCAAAUACAGUACAGUCUACGUUUGCAACUAAAGCACUUUUCGGCCCCCGCCUGACGACGGCGGUGAUCCCCACAAACCGAGACAGUCCAAUCACCCACACGGGAACAUGGACUCUUGAAACUGCUGGUGAAUGCUGCACCUCGGAGCAACAAGUGGGACAAUGCGCCCGUAAUCCAGCACGACGUUUCUGUCUGUCAAAGUGCAGGAACUAAGUGCACUUAGAGUUUCUGGGUCAAGCCUGUGCGGUGAAUACUAUAUCUAAUCAAAAGGACUUCAGCACCAGCUCAUUAAGAUUCCAGUCUGCCUGACGUUAACACACAUCAGCUGAGAGUGUGUGUAAGAGUGUGUGUGUGUGUGUGUGCGGUAAGUGCUGAAUGGGAAUAUAUGCCCGUGAUGAUUGGUCGAUCAUUGUUGUCUAAAAGCACUUUUAUUCCGCCGUCCUGUUUCCUCCUCCUGACUCUCCCUCUCAUUAUCUCCUCUUGGUUUGUUCCACCGAUCUUUAAUUAACCUCACAUUUAUCUCUCCAUCUCCUUUUACUCCCUCGUAUUUCACAGAUAGCUCUAUCUUCUUCACUGCCUCCACAGCCCUGACUGCAGAGUUUGAUAGGAUUAUCUUUGUCUCGUGGAGGAUUCUCAGGUUAUAGGGAAUGUGUCUUCAUUUACAAAGUUUACUUGUGCUUGUCUCUGUCUCUCUUUCUGCUCUGCUAGGUUGUUUUAGAAACUGUACUCCCAGUCAGCUUGGGGUCUGUAGGUAAAUCAAGCUCCAUCUCGGCCUGUACAAAACAGGCAUGUUCUCACCAACUGUCUGUAUGCAAAUCAAACUCCUUCUCAGCUGGUGUCUGUGUGUAGAUUGAGGAUCCUCUCAGCUGAUAUCCAGGGGUAAAUCAAGCUUUACUGUAGCCAAUGUGAGAGUAAACCAAACACCAUCUCAGCUGGUGUUUGUGGAUAACUAGCACUAAAUAAGCUGGUCUUUAUCUACAAAUCGAGCGCUAUCUCAGCUGGUGUCUGAGUGUCAAUUGAGGACCCUCUUGGCUGGUGUCGGUGGAUAACUAGCACUUAGUAAGCUGAUAUCUGUCUGCAAAUCGAGCCCCAUAUCGACUGGUUUCUGUGUAAUUUGAGGAUCCUCUCAGCUAGUAUCCAGAGAUCAAUCAAUCGAUGUGUGAGUAAAUCAAACACCAUCUAAAGAGGUGUCUGUGUUGGUGGAGAACUAGCACUUAGUAAGCUGAUAUCUGUCGGCUGGUAUCCAGGGUAAAUAAAAAUUGUAGCCGAUGUGUAUGAGUGAAUAAAACACCUUUUUAGCUGGUAUUUGUGUGUAAAUGGAGCAUCCUUUAAUCCACUGGUGUCCUUAUGUUAAUCGAGCACCAUCUCAGCUCAUGUCUUUGUGUAAAUUGAGAAUCCUCUCAGCUGGUACCUAGGGGUAAAUAAAGCUCUAUUAUAGUCGAUGUGUUUCAGUAAAUGAAACACCUGUUUAGCUGGUUUUUGUAUGUAAAUGGAGCUUCCUCUCAUUCACCACUAACACCAUUUGACUUCGUGUUGGUGGAUACCUAGCACUUGGUAAGCUGCUCUUUGUCUGCAAAUUGAGCACCAUUUCAGCUGGUGUCUGUGUGUAGAUUGAGGACCCUCUCAGCUGGUAUCCAGGGGUAAAUCAAGCUUUCUUGUAACCAAUGUAAAUGAGUAAAUCAAACUCCUGUUUAGCUGGUAUUUGUGUGUAAAUGGAGCUUCUCCUCAUCUACUGGUGUCUGUAUGUUAAUAGAGCGACAACUUUGAAUGUAGAUAAGAUCACUUUCUAUAAAGACCAGCCCCUAAAAACAAACAUAGAUAACAGGUCCGUUUAGGUUUUAUAGCAGGUUUCUAACAGAGUGAUUUCUUUCCUCUUUGUUUCUUCAGACGUCUUUAAAAAUCUUAAUUCAUGAACCGUUUGUUUCAUUUAUGACCUUGACUUCUUUCAGUAUAAGUAUGUUCACUCCAGCACAGAGUACUGUCUCUUUCCCCGUUAAUAAUAACUGAUCCUGAUGACGUGAUGUUCGUUAAAGGUACUUUACAGCUGGUUCAGACAUGCGUCCGGUCUCCGUGAACACAUCAGACCUCAGAGUAAAAGGGUCCGCAGGCUGAUAUUUGCUCUGAUUGAAUCAUUGCAUCACAGCUUGAUAUGUGGACGCUCGGAUCAGAGCAUGAUGAAACGAGCGGCUCUGAGUGAACGCAUUAAUGCGCUACAAUGAGGGGGUGUUACAUCAUCAUGUUACCACCUCCUCCACACCUCUGCUUUCACGUGAAUCCUUUUUUUAUCCUUUCUCCAACAACUGCAGGGUCUAAAGCUGAAAACAUUGCGUUGUUCCGUAUUUGCUCCGUAGAGCAGCGUUGGGUAUCUCAUACAGGAUCAGCGUAUUUUGAGCGUAGCAGCAGCGUGGUGCGGCCGCGGUCAGCUGGACUCAGUAUGGAGGGAACAACAUGCUCACAGCAGGUUUUUUUUCCUUUCUGUGGUCGAUUUCCUGAUUAUUCUGAUAUAAUUCAGUGACUGUCGAGCCUCUACUGUCUGUGAAAAAGCUUUAAAGGAUUUUACAGUAAAUAUGUUCCUUUAUUAGGGUUGGGAAUCGUUUGAUUUUGAACGAUUCCGAUUCCUUGUUUUGAUUCCGGUUCCUAACGAUUCUCUAUUCCGAUUCUUUUGAAAGGAGGGAUAUUAAAAAAUAAAUGCUAAACUUCUCCAUGAAUUUUUAAAUCAUAUUAACUUUUUAAGAACUUUACUAUGAAUGUCUCACAUUUUCAACAAGUAUAUAAAUAUCAGUUUUUGUUGUCAGGUCGUUUGGCUGUGAAAAAGUAUGAGGGCUAACGUUAGUAUAAUUUGUUUGCCACUUUAAUUUUAGCAGAAGACAAAAGUUAUUUAUUGUUUCACUUCUCUGAUUCUGGCUGGUUUGUGGAAGACCGGCGAAGAACGUCAAAGACGAACACUCGGGUAUUUCUCCUCCAUGAAUCCUGAGGUGUUUAAUCAUGUUGGUCGUUUACCCUCCUUUACAUGAUAUAACUGUUGUUAAUGUUGCACUGAGAAAAGAAUAGAAUAGAAUAGAAUAUUCCUUUAUUGAUCCCCCAUGGGGGAAAUUUUUUUGUCACAGCAGCAUCACAGACAAAGAAAGUGCAAAAAUGCCGUUAUAAAAAUAAAGAUCCUAAUAAUAAGAAACUUAAAUAAAUGUAAUAAUUAAGAAAAAAAGGGAGAAGAAAAAUAAAAUAAAAUAAAAAUAAAACUAUCUACAAUAUACACAAUUUAAAUGCCAGCGUAGUGGUGGUGUAAAUCCAGUUAAGAGUUCAUUCAUCCUGCUAAAGUUAGACAAACUUUUGCAGUGCGCUCUCUCUCUGUGACUUCGUCUCAUAAUCUUCGUCCUUUCUGCAGACUCCACCAUCGAAACUUGGAAUCAAAUUUUUAAAAUUUGAACGGUUCCUGGAGAAUCAGAACAUUAGUCCUGGUCCCCAAUGUUGCUCAAGUCUCGAUGCCCAACCCCACCCUUUCUGCUGCGCUGUUACCUUCAGACUGAGUUAGCAGGUCACAGUCCUGUUGGGGUCCACAUGGAUCAGGGAUUGACCAUCAGGUUGUUACUGAUGAAUCCAGAACCAGGAAGGAUUCCUCAUCUACACCAACUGAUCCACAGUCAGGAGUUUGAAUAUGGACGAUCCUCUCUUGGUGCGAUGACGCGCAUUGGACUCGUAGAGCAGCAAAAAUCGACUCGCUGCGUAUCUUAACCGGUGCUCCUCUUGGUAUAAAGCUCCUGUACGCUUCGCUGCGUCGAUGAGAAUGGAAACCUAUUCGCUGCGUGAUACGUGACACUGCUCCAAAUACGCAUCAACCGUGUUUGUCAAACUCCUAAAACCCCCACGGAGGAGAAGAGUAGAAGAAGAAGAAGAAGAAAGAGAGGUACAAUAAAGAGAGAGAGAGAGAGAGAGUGUGACAUAUUUCAUGGUAGGAUAUGGGGCCUAUAGGGGCCGUUAAUCCACAGAACAGAGCCGCGGGAAAAAGCUACAAGACUGGCGCUGCAGCCACAGUGUGUGUGUGUGUGUGUGUGUGUGUGUGUGUGUGUGUGUGAUGACAGUUGUACUUGGUCUUUAUUUUGAAGGAUGACACUGACAGAGACAAACAGACUGACUAAAUGCCAAGAGAUUCCCUCCCCCAACAACAACGCCGUGGUGUAACCAGGCUUCUCCACCUCCUCCUCCUCCUCCUCCUCCUCUCCGGGGUGAAGGCCGACGAUGCCGAGGCUGAUAUGAAACAGGAGAAACAGCGAAUGAUCUUUGGGCAUCGAGGGAGAAAUUUGCGUCUAUUUUUAUUUUCCUUCCCUGUCUGCAGAAAAUCGAGGAUCUGGUGGAGUCAGCGGGGACCCUGAUGUUGUCUCAACAGGAACCACAGGAGCUGGAAUAGUCCUCCUCCUCCUCCUCCUCCUCCUCCUCCUCUUCAUCAUUCACUAUGUCCUACAUAUCAGCGCUGCCGGCCUUUGACAGCGGUGAUGGCGGCCCAUCAAACCCCUCACAUGAAGCGCAUUAUGAUGCAAUUACCAGCAACAUGGCGAUCAGAUAACCAGGAGAAAGCUGCUUUACGUCAAUAUCGUGUAACAUAGAUGUCCUAUACGGGCGAUCGAGAGAGAGAGAGAGAGAGAGAGAGAGAGAGCAGAUGAUGGAGGCCAGGUGGUUUCAGCAAAGACCUUUAUACUCUGACGGCUGGAUGAUGAUGUUGGUUCUCAGGUCGGGUUGUUCUCUCUCUCUAGGUCAUUUCAGAUCAGAUGUUGGUUCGAUAUCAUAGAAAUUCAUGCUGUAGAUCUCCCUUCACAGCAUCCUCUACUUAUAGAACCACCUCCUGUCAAUAUUCCGAUUCCGGGACCAGCACAGUGGUCCAGUCGGGUCGUCUCAUCGAGUUCUGGUCGUAGCUUGAUUUAACCGCAGCAUGGAAAUGUACGGAAUCUCAACCUCUCAACCCGGUAAAACUCACAAACUGUGAGAUAUUUCCCCAACUGGCGGUCGCUCAUUGCUCUUGCUCACGGUCACGACCUUCUUUCUCAUAUUUGGAGAGGGAGAGACCACCAAUCAAGACUCAGUAUCUGAUCAUUAAAGUCCUGGUUGACGAUCUGAGAAGCAGUUGAGAAAAACUGAGCCGUUGAGGCAACCGGAACGGCUCUGAUCUGAAACUGCGGCGAUUUUCGCUGUUCCUACCGGGUCCGGACAGCAGGACUCACGAGAACUCACAGGAACCCGCGGAUUCACGUGCAAUUCACCAUGUCCGAUUGCUAGCGACUGGCGGCAGUAAACGCCAGCUCUGCUAGCGAGCGCCAUCUGCAGCCGCCUGGACAGCUACCAGUCUCUGCGUCUGUUUUCACGACCGAAUCCUGGCGGCGCUUUCUCCACCGCUCCAAAGAUGACCCGAUGUUUAUUCCUGUUAGAUUCCUCGUUUGGUAGCUAAGCUGCUACGCUACUUUUAGCCGCUCAGAGCUCCGAGGAGGGCCGGGAGAGUGGGAGGGGACGAGUCGGAAACAUGGGAGAGGGGUGUGUCAAAUACAGCGAGGUGAUUGGAUGGAGAGGCGGAGCGGGAGAUUGACCAAUAGGAGCUGUCCGGGAUGGAUGGCUCCCAUUGGUCAAUGUUUUUGCAGCCCUGCACCUGAUAGGGUAAACUGAUUUUUUCCGUUCUUUUUUCUCUUCACUUUGUGGAGAUCGCACUAUAGGACCAUGAUCGCCAUAGAAACGAGGUUCAUAAUAAUUACCAAUCCCUCCAAUCGUCAACCAUGACUUUAACGAGGGUCCUUCCAGCCCUGAGGAUUCAUGACAUCCCUGUAGAAGGUUCUGGAUCAUCUGGGUUUUGGUUUUUCAAAAUAAUUUCCACUAAUAAUGUCGAUUCAUGACGGUAAUGAAGCGCCUGGUCCAGUCUGAGUCCUUUUGACUGACACCCGACAUCUCCUCUGACACAUUAAUCCCCCCCCUGCUGAGUCUUUCACAUCAGCACGCCACGGCGGAGCCACAACCCCCCGGAGAACAAAUUAACAAUGAAUCAAGUCAGUAGGUGGGUUUAUAGAAGCAAAGAAGACGUUCGGAGUGUGAGGCGGGAAUUCGGCGUGUCAAUCAGGACGACAGCGAGCUCCUGCCGAGUAAACCCACACAUCUCUGCUCAGAGUCAGCUGACUUUAAUGUCGCUCUGUUUAGAGAGGAGACGUGGGAUUAGCAGAGCUCGUUCAUCUGCGGAUCACGGCGAAGAGACGGUUUCAGAGACCGUGUCCCAUCAUCAGAUCCGUACAGGAAGUGCAGACGGCUCGAGCAGAGCAUGUCUUCAGAUUGUGUUGUCCUCUCCGUCUUCUCCGCGGACGUCUCUCUCUCUUUACAUGCAGCAGUAAAUAAAUCUAGUGUGUCCCUGGAAACGGCGUGUAAAUCCAUUUAGAGUUUUUUUUUGUUGAACAGACACAGAAUUCAUCCCUUCAGGCUGCACACAUUUAGAUAAGACCCACUGUGGUUAACACACAAACACGGCAUGUACACACAGCGCACAUUAACACAUGCACGGCAUGGAGGUAAACAAACUUUGCAGAGUUUGAUUGGGUUCAAAGGUCACGUCAUGAGGUGGUCUAACUGUAAAGCCAUGAGCGCAGGAUAAGACGCCGCAGUAAUGGUGUCUGUGAGGCAGGACUGUCAGAACGAAAACAUGUUUAUGUUUACAUCCUCGCUCACAAACAUGACUCCAGGGGCCUGUUCUACGAAGCAGGUUCGACCUAGCGAGGUCGCCUUGGAGCUACCUCGCUCAACUCAGCGCGGUAGCCAGCGGUCCCGCGAAGGACAGCGUACUUUACAAACGAGGAGCAGGAGACGAUCAUGAGAAAGUCUGAAGAAUUCAAAUAAACCCCUAAAGCAACGCUGUCGCCGCUGCAAAAGACCGGAGGGAACGCUGGCAGAAAAUGGCCGACAGUCUCAAUGCGGAAGUGUAGUGCGCAAAAAAUCUUUGAUGCCAUCAUCGCCCUGAAGUAACGCUGUUCAACAUGCGCUUUUAACAUGCACCAGACAUGUUUAAUUCAAGGUGGUCAUCCGGAAAAGGAAGUGGGUCUGUGCAGUCCCUGAAAACUCUCGUGAGCCAGAGUGCUCCUCCUCAGACAAUGCGAGCACCGAGGUCUACAGGAUCCUCCAAGAACAGACAAGCCAUUUUUCGAGAGAGCUCAUUGGUCAGUGGGCGGGGUUUUUAUAUUCGGUGACCAGCUAACCUGCCCCGGUGCAGCGUACGUUGCCAUGGAGAAUCGCCUCAGUAAGAAGUAAACCGGCGUCAUAAAACAGGAAACUCUGAACUUACCCUCGAAGUUACCUCGCUAAGCAGUAAUCCUGCUUUGUAGAACAGGCCCCUGGACCCGGUUUGACCAGGAUUACACGCUGACCUUUUAAAGGACACCAGAGACGGGGUCGAACGCUCGAAGGAAUCAUCCCAGAUCAGAUCCAGGUCAGGGCUAACUUCCAGUUCUUACUUUCUCUCCAGUAACAAUAACGUUCCUGUGGAGACAAAUCGGAAAAAACGAAAACCAAAAUGUUCUGCUUGAGCCCCCAAAAGUUUUAAGAUCCUCUGUGGUCCUCGUGAUAAAAGUUCAUCUUGGGCAUAGAUUUAAAGAUCCAUCUGUUCCUGUUUGGACCAUAGACCUGAUCUCAGUGGUCACACCUGCGGGGGAACUUUAGUACCUCCUAGUCUGCACCUACCAGAGGUGGGUCUUCAGCCAGGUCUUCUCCAGCUCCUUGUCAGUAGGUCAGUUUUAGGUGUCUUCUUGAUGCAUGUGAGAUCAGCAGCUUCACAGACGUGCGGUCAGUCUGCAGACAUCCAUUUACUCUGUUUUCCAGGAUGAGUGUGGUCAGUUUCCUGUAAGGCCAGAUCUGAGUCGUCACAAUGACAGGAACUGAGCGGACACGUGGGCUGGAUCUCCUCCGCCCGAGUGUCAGACUCUUCACAGGUCCAUUUCUAAACAUCUUAUAGGUCCGUUUCUUUAACAGGAGUGUGGGAACUAUCUUGACGGACACGACGUCAGGUCCAAGCUUGUUUGAGGUCAUUUACUUACAAACAUGUGGUCGGUUUCUUUGCAUGAAUAGAGGUCAGAUCCUAAAGAGAUACAAAGCCAGUUCCCCAGUCAGUCCCUGGCCUUUCCUGAGCCGGAAACCUAUCCGUGUCAGUCCCUGGACCGGUCUAAGGUCAUGCAUGACUGAAGGUCAGUGCCUUGGCAGACAUGAGUUUUGGUCCUCUUGCAGAAAAAAGGCCGACCUCCUGAAAACCUAGAGGGUAAUGCGGGAUUUUCACCGCAUCCGGAAUCGCCAUACGCCAAUUUGAUUUGUGAGGCGAAUUUCGUGGCAGAUUACAGACAGCAGGAAUCGCAAGAGAUCACAAGAACCUGCGGAUUUAUGUGCAAUCGACACAUAGACAUACAAGCAGUAGAUUGUGUCCUUUCAGAGGAGGAAAUUUCUAGACUUCUAGAAUCAGCAUCUCCUCAUGGAGUGUUUUAUUUUGAAAAGAAGCCGGAUGUUUUAUUUUGUGUCUCUGCCCGACUUCCUUUCCAGCACGGGUUAAUCUGUGCUGAAUUUCUCCGCCAUGCUCCGGCGUCCAGAAAAAUAGAACUCUUGCGAUCAGCUGAGGAACAGAAAGAAGUCGGUGUAAAUUGACACGUUAACUUGAAUGGUUACGAUCAGCUUCGAUCAGAGGAUACGACCUUUUCGUAGACGAUCAGGAUGAAGGUGGAAAUCCCGGGUUAGUCCUUUAGCUCGCACAAGGACACUGUUGGGGAUCCAUCGGGUGGGCUCCUCUGAAGAUGUUCUCCUCCAGAUGAGACAUUUAGCAUCAGUAAUAAGAGCAGGACACAGCUUUAAAGGAAGGAUCUAGUGUCAUAGAUCUAUGAGUCUGUUUCUGAUCCUGACAUUAAACUCACUCACUCUACAGAUGACUUCCUCUACAGAGGACUGGCUCUCAGCCCAUUCGCACAAGUCAUGCUUGGCCCUCAACCCUCUGACAUUUCCAGUCACUAAGCAGAUUAUAAAGACACAUGUGUGUGUGUCUGUGUGUGUGUGUAUAUAGAGCUGUGUUUAAGUAGGCCAAGCAGGUCUGAGAACAGUCCUAUUUACAGCAGAAGAAGAAAACGUCGAUUUAUGAAGCUGUCAGAACAGAGAGUCGAAGAGGACAGCGUGAUCCACCUGAACCAUGAGUCUGAUCUUCAUGAAGUCCUGAGGUUUGCCUCUCUGCAGAUAACUGGACGGACUCAUGUGACUCUGACUGUCACUCUGACGGGGAAUAAUCCAGAAGAUCUUUAAAUGUCAGGCUGUGUGGUCCACUUCCAAAAGAAGAGAGUCAGGAGUCAGUCCGGGUAAAUGAGGACUAAAUCAGGACACGAUCACCGGGUCUACAGGAGACCGGGUAUCACAGUAAACCUGACUCUGGUCCAGCUGAUCCAGAUCUCCUCUCUGAAGGUUUAAACCCACAUUAGUCAGUCUAAGUGUUCUUAGUGCCGUCUUCACUCUGGUACUUUUCCUCCUUUUCUCCCUCUAAUCUGUGUGUCUUCAGGGCGGACUUACUGAGCGCACUCAGUCAGCACUGCUCCUCUUAACACUCGCAUUAUAGUUCCCUUUAUGUGUGUCUGUGUGUGUGUGUGUGUGUGUGUGUGUGCAUUUCUGUUUACAUCUGCAUUAGAGUUUAACAAAGUGGAGGUUUUCAUCUGUGGUUUUUCUGCCUCUGUGAGGACAGGUUCGGCCUCGAGAGAGCGGACUUUUUUUGGAGGUUGUUUUAUGGUCGCGAAGUUAAGAUGUUUAACGAAGGGAUCGUUCUGUGGGUUUGACUUCUUCAGACUUCAGCAGUUAAAACCACAUCCUUCAACUGAGGACAUGAGCAGACAUAUUUAAGGGAUAUUCCGGCAUAAAAUUAAUUUAGGGUCAAACUCGCCGUAACACCGAGUUAGACCCCCCCUCCAGAGAUGAAUGUUGUCGACCGCUUGCUUCUCUAGUUUUACCAACUUUAGGAUAGCGAUACAGAGAGCCACGCGCUCAACCAAAACGCCACUCUAUAGCCACAAAUAAUGCUCAGAACAGCACCUAACUUCAUCAACAGGACAUAUAGGGUCACAGCCAUAGUACUAGACACCAAACAUCUUUUUAACUUUGACUCAUUUCUUUAGCAAAGAGACUAAAUGAAAAGGUAAAGGUGUUUUUAUUGAGCCGAAUUAUCAAUAAAAUCAUGAUUUUGUUAACAGGUAUGAAUAUAUGUGCUGUCGAGUUAAUAUAUUUGAACAAGAGCACAGUAAAGUUAAAUCAGCUAAUUUUCCAAUGAGGUUCUGUUACUGAAUGGAACUACACCAUGUUCUACUGAGGUUAGUACAUAUAGUGUCACAGCCAUAGUACUAGACACCAAACAUCUUUUUAACUUUGACUCAUUUCUUUAGCAAAGAGACUAAACACAACUCACCUACUCUCUUCCAGCAGCCGCUUGUUUGUACUACAGCGGGGUGCCGCAGCUCAAGGAAGAACAUUUAUGAUCAGAAAACUGUCAGAAAAGUUAAUUUAGAGUCCUGAGAGUGACAAUCUGCUCUCAAACCCACUAAUACUUUUAUUUUUCAUGGGAAAGUGGAGGCCGACCUGUCAGUCCUCUCUCCUUAAUCCUCUCAGCAGCAGUGAGAUCUUUGGGGGGCCACUUAGCAAUAGGGAUGGGAAUAGAAAACCAAAUGGUUUAAUCCAUCGACAUCAUUUACAUUUUAGCUUAACGAUUCCCUGAACGAUUUCUUUCUUCUGGUUCAUAUAUGUUGAUAAAUGAUCAUAUAUGUUUUUCCUUGAGCUGCGGCACCUCACUGUAGUCCCUAACAGACUGGCCUGAGGUCUCUCUACAAACAAGCGUCUGCUGGAAGAGAGUAGGUGAGUUGUGUUUAGUCUCUUUGCUAAAGAAAUGAGUCAAAGUUAAAAAGAUGUUUGGUGUCUAGUACUAUGGCUGUGACCCUAUAUGUACUAACCUGAGUAGAACAUGGUGUAGUUCCGUUCAGUAACAGAACCUCAUUGGAAAAUUAGCUGAUUUAACUAUACUGUGCUCUUGUUCAAAUAUAUUUACUCGACAGCACAUAAAUCCAUACCUUUUUAACAAAAUCAUGAUUUUAUUGAUAAUUCGGCUCAAUAAAAAUACCUUUACCUUUAGGGAGUGUCUAACUCGGUGUUACAGUGUUUGAUCCUGACUUACUUUUACGCCGGAAUAUCCCUUUAAUAUAGAUCUGCAUGCACAGCUAGAUAACUCACUCUGGUGCUGGGCGGUUUCACAGCUUCUCUUGAAAGUCUCCGUCAGCAUCGAUCUGCUUUGGUGCAUUUAAAGGUGCAUGUGUUUUUGUUUUUCAUGUUGAACAGUCAGAUCUGUGUGUGAUGAAUGUUGAUCUUGCGUUCCCCGGCUCUUGUUCUCUGCAGACCAAUCAGACGGCAGGGAGACCUGCGUCUCUGCCAAACACCAUUAAAGGCAUUAAAGACUGGGACUGAUAGUCCGUCUCUGUGUGCGAGAGCGUGGACAUUUGCGUCAGAGCGCCUGUGGAUCCGUGUUUAUCACCCUUAUCUCCUGGUCUGAGCGGCUAACAACACGGUGCUCUGAUAAGAGGCAGAUCGAGGAGUGAUAGAGCGAAGCAGAGAGGUGACACAUCUGGAAACACGCGGAGGUAAUGGGAGGAGAGUCGGAACAUUUGCUUUGCUUCCUCUCUGACCUUUCGUGGAGAAGAAUCAACGGCGUUGGAAACCACUCUGAAAAGGUCCUGAAUUAUUUCCACGCCUGUUAGAGAGGAGGAGAUGAGAUUUCUGUUGUCGUGGGAAGUCGGGAAAAUGGGGAAGUGUCUCGUUGUUUUUGUAAUUACAGUAAUCUGGGUAAACGGCUCUGUAUCUGGUGGGCUCGCCCUCGCGCGUGUGAAAGGUCAGGUCCUGCCAUUAACGGCUCCAUUAGACAAACUCACCGGGUUUUCUUCUUCAGGACUAAAAAGAUCAGAUAAGAGGAAAACACGGACCUGUCACCGCCGAGGGGAUCUCGGAGUGACGGGGUGGAUGAGAUAGAAAGAUGCAAAGAUACGAGAAACAUCCAGAACGAUUAGAAAUACAUUAGAAAGCCUCCGGGGUCAGGACCUUCUUCUUCUUCAUGUAGGAGGACGGAUGUUUUAUGGUUUUAAUUUUAGCUUCCAGACUCAACAUCAUUCACCUGAGAAGAGAAACCGCCGACAGCAGAGACGACGCUUUCUGACAGGAAAUCUAUUUAGAUCUGAGUCAGCGGCAGAGAGCCGCCCUCUCAGGUUACACUAAAUAAAAACGGAAUAGUCAUUUAUAAAACUGCAGAAAAUAGAAAUGAGUUUAAUCCUUUAUCCUCCCUACAGCUGCCGCUAAAUACUCAUUUACUACAUUCAAAUGUAAUCCUCUUAUCGCAGGUGUCAAAGUCCUGGACCCGGACCUAAUCCCCACAAUUAUACUGCGCUUCCACAAAGUUCCUUCAGUCCUCCCAGGGUGAGAAAUCUGGAGGUGAAACUGAAACAGUCAGUCAGACCUGUCAGUCCUCUCUCCCUGAUCCUCUCGGCAGCAGUAAGGUCUUUGGAGGGCCACUUAGCAAGACCGGUAUAGGGGUAGGGUCCAAAGGGGCGGAAAAUUUACGGUAAAUUUCUGUGGGAAGUUACGCUUGGGAAUUUUGGAAAUAUUCCAAAUUGGAAACUUUUCAUGGGAAUUAUUGGGAAUUAACUGGAAAUUGGGGGUAAUACAAACAAACGGUAUCAUAUCCGAACGUAAAUGUAAAUAUUUUUGUUUUGUCAUAAGUAGACCGAUUUAUCGGCAAGUUGAUUACAUUGGAGACUAACCGGUAAUUGUCUAAAACUCGCUGAUUUUCGCCGAUAUUUUCAGAAGUAAAAUGCAGAGAAUAAGAUUCGGUUUCACUUCGAAAAUGUUCCGCCAUUUGAAAAGUUCCCCGACUUACCCUGUAGAUGGCGCAGUGACCUCAUGAUAAUCUUCAUCCAUUAACUACCUCACAUACAUAUUAUACUGUAGAUAUUUACUGUAUAUACAUAUUCUUUAUAACUUCAUAAAAAAUUUUAAAAAUCGGCCGAUUAAUAAUCGGUAUCGGCAUCAUUCAAAAAAUACUUACAUUUAGUAACUAUUUUUAUUUCAUUUUUUACAGGUUAAAUAUCAGACUGAUAUGGAUUUUUUGGGGCCGAUGCCAAUUCGGAUAAUUAGGGGGAAAAAAAUCAGAUUAGCGGUUAAUUGGAUGAUUUAAAAAAAAAUUUAUUAAGUUAUAAAAAAUACACAUAUACUGUAGAUAUCUACUGUAUACUAUGUAAUGUAGAUAUACUGUAGGCUACUGCUCUUCAGGAAGACCGACUGAUCAAACUCGGACCAGAAAAACGUUUUUAACUCCGCCCAUCGGUGCCUCGGCGUCUAAACUCCCGUUACUCAUUUCCGGUCCGGUCUGAUCUGGAGACAUGCAGCUGUAGCGCCAUCUACAGGAUAAGUCGGGGAACUUUUCAAACGGUGGAACAUUUUCGAAGUGAAACCGAAUCUUAUUCUCCGCAUUUUACUUCUGAAAAUAUCGACGAAAAUCAGCGAGUUUUGGCCGAUUACCGAUUAAUCUAAAAUGGGCUUAUAUUGGUCAGUCUAAUCAGCUCGCCCCUAAUAUUUACCCCAUAAUAUUAACAUCAUUAUAUAGACGUGGACUCUAAUGUCUUGGUCUUUGGGCUCUCAAGUGUGUUCAAGAAAUCAGAAAUUUCAGAUUUAUUCCUGUUAAUUCCCACGGAAAGUUUCCGACUCCUGGAUCCCCAAAGGCCAGAGGACCGAGGAGGAUCAAGAUUUCACUCUUUCUGACUGUUCAGACUUUUAAAACUCCUUAAAUUGGCGUUCAGGUGUUGAACAAAAGAUCUUCCUGCUGCUAAACUUCGGCUCAAACUCCUAAUCGAUGAAUUAGCUUCUUCCGCCUUCCUCGCAGGUUUGAUGGCCACCCACUUUGUUUUGGUUUUCCUGAUUAGCCGAAUGCUAAUCUUUUGCUGCUUUUAGCAGAAAACAGAGGCGGGCCGGGUCUCACGUGGACCCGGUUCUUCAGAGCUUGUUAAAAAUAAGUCCUUGACAUCAAAGCAGCGGCGGCACAGAGCAGUUUACCUGCAGCAGUGCAUUAAAGGCCAUUAAUUAGCUGGCAGGCUGACACCGGUGUCAGGCAGGAGGGGGAAUUAGGCAUGAAACGAGGAAGAAGAGAGGAGGGAUAAAAGCAGAGGCAUGAAUUAAUGAAGAGUGGGAGAAGAAAGGGAAGAAGAGGGGAGGAAGAAAAAAACACCGAGGACCCACACAGAGAGGGACUGAGGUUUGAUCUGAGGGAGCACAGAUUCAGAUUAGGGGGACGAGAGUCGACGAUUACACCGUGUCAGAGAGAGGAGUAUCCGAUCCUCAAAAACUCCCAUCACUCAAACAUCUCCAAGGCGUCCUCAAAACACAUUCAAGGACUCGUUCAAGGUGCGUUUGUUAGCCGGGGGGGCGGGGCUGCUCGAUCGACUCUUUCUGAAGCCGGCGAACCAGUCCUGACGCUAUCGACCACAACAGACAAGAUCAGAACUGCAACGUGAUUUAGCCUAGCAUCCAUGCUAGGUAACAGGUAGUAAUGUGUUAUUAGCAAUGCCGUUACUUUAUUCAGUAGCUAAUAAUGUAACACAUUUUUUUUUUUAAUUCAGUAACUCUGUUCCCGUUACCAAACGCUGCGUUCCUCCGUUCCUUUCGGUGAGGUUUUGUAACGGCACAACGCGACAUUUCGGUAACAUGUAAACUGUGUCCCGGGUCAAAAAUCCUUCCUUGCGGCAAACAACGGCAACAGCAAUCUACUUCAGCACCUAGAGACGCACGCGGCGUGCUUCGACAAAGUUUGCGGCUAAGGUGACGCAGCAUCCGCGACCGAGUGUCACAGCAGCGGUUGGAGUUCGGAAGAUGGACCAAUAGCCAGGCGCAACAAUAACAGGGUAUGUUUGAUUGUUUAUUUGGAUCUUUUUUUUUAGAGAUAUCAGGCUGAUAUUCCAAAAGUCGGAUGCGGGUCACUUCACGGACGCAUUCCGUUCACAUUAGAUGCCGCAUUCAUUGUUGUCAUGUGAACGACCGCACAAAAAGAUCGGAUUUAACAAAAAGAUCGGAUUUAUCAGAACCUGCAGUGACAGGACAGGAUCCGUGUUUGUUCAUCGUGUUUUCAGCGAGUAAAAUCAGCUGUAAAAAAAAGAGGCAAACGGUCAAUCAUACGUACAUUUAUCAUCAACAAACACGGACAUUUCUGCACAGUCAGCGCUAAAUCCUGAGUAGAUUUUGAUUACGACACUUAAAGGCGACCUGCCAUAAAAAUGUAAUUUUUCUGUGUUUUUUGUGUCAGAUAAGGUCCAUAUUAUGUUCGUCUUAUGUUGUAAAUGUGAAAACAAACCGUUACGUCGUUUGCAUUCUGUAAAGGUUUAAAAUAAAGGAACGAGUAAACCAGGCCAAUUGAAAAAGCAGGUCAGUGUUACGUUGCGUUGACGUUGCUCAUUAUAAUUCACGAGCUCGUCCUCGGUGAGCCGUGCCCACUCUCUCGUUCUCGUACUCAGUCACAGCCAGAGCGAGACCCAGCUACCGCUGUAUCCGCUAUGGGUCUCUUCCAAACGAUCGGUGUUUCCUUCGGUUCACUGCCGGGAAAAUGAACUUAAAGCUGGGCAGAAUGAAUGAGAAAACACCGCUGGAGAUCUCCAGCUUCUUCCUCAACUUCCACCUCCUCUUCGGACUCGGGGUCUAAAAUAUAUGGUUUAAUACCUGCCGUUUUUAGCCUUUAGCAUAAGGUGACCAGACGUCCCCGAUUUCCGGGGACAGUCCCCGUAUUGGAUGACCUGUCCCCGGCAAAAGCUGUCCCCGAAAAUGUCCCCGAUUUAAGCGUUUCAUUAAUGAGAGCAAAAAUGUUGCGUGUGGGCUCGAACAACGGUUAUUACAGUAGCCGAAUAGGUAGGAAGCACAGGUUAGCAGUCCUGAACAACAGUUCUUACGGGGUUAUUACAAGGGGCAUGCGCUGCUACUAAAUAGUACCGAGACUUUGUCUGUGAUCACACAGCCCCUGCAGCCCCUGCACCGCCGCCGCCGCCGCACCGAAUAUCCCCGGAUAUCAUUACAGACAUCUGGGCACCUUACUUUAGCAUACAUUAGCAUAUGCUAUUAGCAUUAGCAUAAUAACAGUGGAUAAACCGAAAUCCGAACCUCCACUGCUGAGCCAAUCAGAGCACAGUAGGCUUCACAGCAGCGAUCCAAUCAGAGCAAAGCUCAUUACCAUAAAUGUUAAUGAGCCAAAACCAGUUGGUUUUCCUGUAAGGUUUUUUAGGCAUACUAAAACAAACCAUCAAAUAACUUUUCAGCUAAAAUUAUGUUGCAAACAUGAUCAGAGGACAUCAAGGAUUAUGAAAAAAUGAUAAAAAUGGGGAUGAAGUUUUGGUGGCAGGUCCCCUUUAAACUUCCACAGAGAUCUGAGGGGAAUCUCCGCUGAACGCCGACUUGUACUUAUUAAAGUGAUUUCUACACUUUCAUCAGUUUUCCGACUUCUGUUCUGAUGAAAUCAAGUUCCCGCCCUCUUCAUGCUGCUCGUCUUUAUCUUGCGCUCGCACUCGCACAGGCGGCUCUGUGGCCUACAGGCUGUACCGUCUUAUUUACAGUAGAGAACACAGACACACAAAUCUAUAUUGUUACGCCGCCUCCUACAGAAAAACACAAUACUGUAUAUUUAAUGCACACUUCAUGAGUGCACUGAGAGAUAAUCCGUGAGAUGCAGAUAAGUAAAUGUGGGUCAGGAAGCGUUCCAGAGGCGUGCUGGAUUUAUUUCCCCUGCUGAGGAGGAGAAACCUCUUCAGACGGGGUUUAUCUGCUCUGAGGGGUCCGGAGAUUUGAGCAGGAACACACCUCACACUCCUGGAGGGUUUAUGCGCUAUCGCCACCGUCUCAGCGCCUCAUCCUGCCCAUUAUAGAUCCAAACUCCUCGACAAAGCCGCAGAUUUUCUCUCUUAUAGGCGUCACAAUCCUCGGGGACUCUCUGAUCAGAUUAUACCAACUUUCAUCUUGAUACUCAAACCUCGGCUCUUUGACGCCGUUAUACAACAGGCGUAGAUCAGACCCCGCUCGUGAUCAGAGGAGUCCUCUCAGUCCCGGUCGAAGGCCUGGACGGGUUUCUGCGCGCCGAGUCCGAGCCCAGAAGCUCAGCUAAAACUCCUCCUACUCUCCACCUACACAGCCACGCUAGUUCAAGGCCCCUGGGAAGCACAGAAGAAAGGCAUUCUGGGUAUCUUCAGAGGAUAAGUGGACGUGGUGGAAACUGUAUCAACAUCAUUUCAUCAGGACAUAACAACACGGGGACGAGUGGAUCUGACUGUGUAAACCUCUGCAUACUUUCCGUCCUACUACACAUUAUCCAGCUCGUUACCACGGCAACCGGCCAUAGAUAUAAACAAGCUGACACCGACCGUUCGUUAAGAAGAGAUCGUAUUGAUUGAAAAAAAAAAAAAAAAGAGGGUAAACACUCUCUCCUUCCUCUUCUUCACUCCUGAUUGGCUGGUAACCACGGAUCGCGCUCCUUUAAGGUGUCAGGAUAUAUCGUUUGAGCAUCGUCAUGGCGAUAGUCACAUUGCCUGGGAUGUCGGAGGCGAAUGAACUCAUCUCAUUUCAAGGGUAGCUGACUGACUGCCAAUCAGACUACCCUGCCAGCCGUCAAUCAAGAGAGGAGGAAACCACGCCCCUGCACAUGGAGUGAGUCGCUGGCGCUGCCGGUGUUGUGCCGAGAAACGCCGAGAAUGACUUUGGGAACAUUCCUCAUCACUGUUGAGAACUGUAUGGGUUUUAAAUUGUACAUUUCCGUGGACCACUCGACUAUAAGCGGUAUGCGUGUGGCGAGGUGGAUGCAAUUCUCAGCGGGCAUGCGUUUCUCGGCACAACAACGCUAACAACAACAACAACGAUUGCAAAAUGAGCGACAAACGAGAGAUAACCACCGAAAAUGAAGAUUUGUUACCUAAAAGAAAAGCAACGUCACUUACCUGGAAUUGUUGCGGUUAUAGGAAGGAUGAUGUCGACUAAAACACCUGUUCUGUGUUCAUCUAUUUCCAGCACGGCCGCUGUUGUUUAGCGGGCACACAUUUGUUCCCUCCGAUGGGGCGUCGCAACAAUAUGCUUUUCGAUAGUCACCAUUCUGACAUGUUUUGGUAGAUUAUUCGAAUAGCCAAUGAAAAGGGGAGUUGCUCUGGGUCCGCUUCAUGUUCUGAAUUAGAACCAAGUAACAACCAAUUGUAGCGUCGUAGCAGACAGCAGCUCCACCCAACCAUAGCACUUUAACAGGUGAAGCCGACAGCACUGUUGGUGAGAAACAAAGAAAAUGAGUGCUACCCCCGACAGAAAUGACCAUGAAGGCUCAACAGAUGACCACAUCAAUGUCAACCACAACACUGGCGUUAGGAAAACGUCGGUGGUGUGGAGGUAUUUUGGUUUUUGGAGGUCGGACAUGAAGCAGAGUAAUGUGGACUGUAAAUUAUGUCGAGUACAUGUUCUCACAAAGUUGGGGAAUACCUCAAAUCUUUUUCACCACCUGAAGCAGCGCCACGCCGCAGAGCACGCGCAACGCCGAAGGUUACAAACCCCGAGAGGAGCGAGGAGCCAAAACAGGCGAGCAUUCAGUCGGCUUUCUCUAGAGCAACGCCUUACGACAAAACGCCAAAGAGACACAAAGACCUCACAGAUGCAGGAGAUUAUUGUGUUGGAAAAGACAUGAGACCAAUAAACACUGUUACAUUUUUAUAUCGUGAUAUUGAUCGAUAUCAGCUGGUGAGGUUCAGAGUGUUCGUUCAUUAGUAAACUAAAACCUUCACCUCCUGGUUCAGUUUUCUUCACCUCCAUGACGCCUGUGAUACUGCUGAUGAAGCACUAAUCCACCGAUCGAUUGCGCCCUCCCUCGUGUUGAAGACCCAAAGAAACUCGAGGUCAAAGACUCGACCCAAUUAAAGACGGAAGGUCAUUGUUUUCCAGUCCAGAACCAUGGACUCAGACCUUAAGGUGCUGACUUUCUGUCUUUAUACUGCUGGAGGUCGUGACUUGGAAGAAGACGAAAAAACCACAUCGUCUGCAAAGAAAGAAAGAUGGAAUUUAGAGGAUCCUGAACUGAGGACCCUGGAGACCCCUAUCCUUGAAUGUCCUGAUCAGAUGCAGAGGCGGACAUGAUCCGCUGCAGGCCAAAGCUGUUCUUAGCCUCCACAGAAGUCUCUGAAGUACGCGCAGAUAUGGAGGACCAGCGAGUGUUUCCCUGAGUGUGCAUGCAUGGAGAGGCUCUCUACAGUCUAAGUGCAUCUAACAGCGGGAGGAAAACAGGCCAACAUGACUCCUCCAAGAGACCAGUAUCUGACAUGAAGGGGGUCAAAGGCCAGAGGUCACUGUGCUCCUUUGAGUGUGGAGGUGGACUCAGAAACAUGGACUAGUUUAGAGUUUCUUAGAUAGAGGGUUCGAUUAGGGGAACAUUUAAAAACCUGCAGACAGGACAUGGAGGCGGGUGGAAAAAAAAAACACCUAACCUAAAAAAUUCUAACAAAUGUUUCUCAGCUGUUUUUUUUUAUAGUAUUAGAUGUACUUAAUAAAAAACUAAAAGUUUGCCAAAGUUUGACCACUAGAAAGGCGUCAUUUUCAAGAUGGCGUCCAUGAUGGGUUGGAGACCCCCCAGGUGAAUAGGGUAAAAUUUUAAACUAACAGAUAUAACCAUGAAACUCACCAAGUUUAUAACUGACAUUAAGACAAAUAUUUUUCAUAUUACAAGUUUUUUCAAAUGUUAUGUUUGAAUAUGUCAAUGAGGUCAUAUCUAAUUAAAUAUGCACUAAUUUACAGAUAGAUAGAUAGAUUUAUUGGUCCCCGUGGGGAGAUUUGUCUUCACCAACUGUACAUCACAUGAAAGGACAGAAACGCACAUCACAUAAGACAGACCUUAAAGAACAGACAACUAAUGACAAACACCCGGACAACAGCAGUCGGCAACAAGCAGCAAGGAGGCAACAGGGGCCGACUAUUCAGGGCAUCUAUAGCUGCAGGGACCAGGCUUUUCCUAAAGCAGGCCUUGCGAAACCUCAGGGUUCCAUACCUGCGCCCUGAGGGUAGGAGGUUGGAGUAUUUUUUGAGUGGGUGUCUUGUGCUGUGGAGUUUGCUAUGUGUGUGAUGGACCUGUUGUUCAGUUCUGUGAGGUUGGGUGUGGGUAGACCAUUGCUCCUCCGGGGGGAAUUCCAAGGCACUCCCAGGCCAGGCGAGAGAUAUAAUCCCUCCACCUGGUCCUGGGCCGACCACGAGGUCUCCUCCUGGUGGGACAUGUCUGGAACACCUCUAACAGGAGGCGUCCAGAAGGCGUCCUAACCAGAUGCCCGAGCCACCUCCAGUAAACCCAUUUCGGCCCCUUGUAUCCGUGAUCUUGUUCUUUCGGUCAUUACCCAAAGUUCAUAACCAUAGGUGAGGAUCGGCACGUAGAUUGACCGGUAAAUCCAGAGUCUCUCCUUACGGCUCAGCUCUUUCUUCACCACCACUGAUCGGUUCAGCGUUGAUCCGCCUGUCGAUCUCCCGUUCCAUCCUACCCUCACUCAUGAACCAAAAAAAAACCACCCCUUGAAAAUUCAAAUGAAUAUCACAUGAUCUAAACACAAAUCAGGCGCCGGUAUUCCUGGUCUAGAAUGAAAACAAACGGUCGUUUUAAGGACCUGGAAAAGACACUUCUUUAGGGAUGGUGAGAGUAUUUCCUCAUUUACAGAGCGAUAAAAACAAACAUCCAAGUCGGACAUAAACUCAGUUCAGAUUUCAUUUAUUCUUCAUGAAUGUUAUUGAACGUGUUUUUAACCGAUUAAAUGUAAGUGCAGCAUAAAUAUUACUGCAUGAUUUAGAGGAAAAUUCACUGUCAACAUUUCUAAUAUAUUAAUAUAUUCAAAUUUCAGCGUAUAAUGGAUUUCAUCACUAAUAUCUAAUGAUACUGCCUGAGAUUAUACUGCAGUGUGAGUAUUACAUAUGAAGAGACAGUGAAGCAUGAAUAAAACAGCAGAUUUAAGUGGAUGCUGCAGCAGCAGGACUAUUACUGCACACUUAAUUCAUGACACCAUGAAUAUUAUCGCACUGGAAACACGAUGAACACUUCAAACUGAAUAUUAACAAACUAUAGAUAUGUUUGAUAAUGACAUACAGUUCAUAUAUAAGAACAUGGAUGUCUGAUGUUUCUCCUUUUUUCCUUCGUCUGUCUGCUCAAAAUCUUUCAAAAAACAAAUUCUUGGAGAGCUGGAUGAAGUUGCCUCAUUUUUUAUCACAAAGUUAAAUUAUUAAAUAAUUGACUAACAUAGAUUACCAUUUGAAAAAGGGCGCAGACAAAAUUAAAGGUCAGCAAAAACGAAAUUCACCUCCAAUGUGGCUCCAACACACCGGUCCCCGAUCGUUUUCUAUAGAAUCAACUACAAACUGAUCCAGUUAAAGAGUAAAGGAGCCAAGAAUUAAUAUUAUCAUUAAUAUUAGUAUUAAUGAGUGUACACUUUACAUCGCUUUAGGGUUUCACCUUUUUAUAUCUUGUGUUCAGUGUUUGGUAGACAACUUCUUUUUUUAGUCAUCGGUACAGGUCCAGAGAGAAACUGGAGAACAAACUCUGAGGACUGUCUUUUAAUCCCUCAGAACAUAUACGUUUAUUUGGUGAUAUUUGUGAUAUCACCAGAAAGGCUUUUUAUCACCUCAAGAACAUCUCUAGAGUCCGCCAGUUUCUCUCUCAAGCCAAUGUGGAGACUCUUAUCCGUGCUUUUAUUACCUGCAGAAUUGAUUUUUACAACGCUCUCCUCUCUGCUCUUCCUAAACAGAACAUUUGUAUUUUAUCCGGUAUCCCCUGAUCCUCUCCUUCUUGUGUUCUUUAAUGUACAGAACUUUGUGAUACAGUCCAUGUAUGAAAAGUCCUUUAUAAAUAAAGUGAUUGAUUGAUUUGCGCUCUGCCUUCUUGUCCAAACGCUACGGCGCGCUGCUGAUUACCCGCGCUGUGAAUGUUUACAUGCGCUUCAGUUGUCCGGUCUUAAUCGGAGUAAAGCGGUAAUUCAUGUAAACGUUCUGACCGUCACGCUGCAGUAAACAGACUGAGAUGAUUGAUAGUUUACGGCUGUUUCCUGUAAAUGUCUUAUUCCUCCUCAGACUCCAUCCUCAGAGUGACUUCUAUCCACCUGUCUUUGUGAGUAAUCACAGGUUACCAUGUCUCAUAUCACUGAAAUGUGAUGAGGACUGAAAACGACCGUUUACAACCGCGGCGGCGGCGACGGCGAGAUCAAAUCCAAACCUGUGAACAUCUUGUAAAAAAAAAGCAGCUUCACAGAAUCGUAAUAAUGACGCCGACUUUGUUUCCAGCGAAGCUCAGGGGCAGAUCUGAAGUUGUUUCCUCUCAACACCACAAAGGCCGUUACAUAAGGAGAGCAAGUGUGCCAACAUUAACAAGUAGGACACACAACAAUGCUUUCAAAUGGAAAUUAAUGCUCCCACUCACACACACACGAGCUGGGAGGCUGCCACCGGCUUGUACGUUUGUGUUUUAUUUGUUUAUUAUGAAGCUGAGAACUCGCCCUCCGCACGCCGGCGCGCCCUGACACUGAUGGUACUAAAGAUGACACCGAGUACUGAAAAUUAAUGGGGAACAUUAUUCCUGCUUCCUGUUUCCCUCUGAGGAGACACUCUCAGAGAUAUUCCGCACACCUCUGCGAGAUGGCGACGACGUUACCUUCACCACGAAGACAAUUUCCUGUCGCUCUUCCUGCUUUGUUAUUUUCUAUCAAUUCAGAGAUGGAGGACGACCCCGGAGGAGGUCUUAGUUUUCCAUCUCCCCCCCUACAUAUCUAUACCCGACAUCUUCAAACCGGCACUUUAGUUGGAUUGUAUUUCAGGGGGAAACAGAUGUGUGUCAAUAUUGGUUCAAAUAGACUCUUUUGAAAUGUCUGUUCACCCCCCACUCCCACUCCCACCCCCGUCAUACGGAGCCGGGCCUCCUUCCCCAUGAAUCCCUGUAUCAGUCUGGCCUGGAGUUAAGGGUCUUAUUAAAGCCCAGGUAGGUCUGAUAGCGGUCUUCAGCUGGUCUGUAUUUGGGGGUCAGAUAUCCCAGAGGUUCUAGAUGAGGUCAGUAAACGCUGUUGGCAGGUUCUAGGUCCAACUGGAAAAAACAUCCUCCCUUAAAUCCCGCCAGCGUGAAGGUCCCUAAAAUCUCCUGGUGGGAUUUCCACCGAAUUCCGAAUGGCAGCGAUUUUUGCCGUACGCCAAUUCCUACGGGAUCUGUUUGUGAGGGAAAUUUCGUGGCGAAUUACAGACAGCAGGAAUCACGAGAACUCACAAGAACUUGUGGAUUCACGUGCAAUUCCGUGAUAACGAGUUGUCUUUAGCCACAUAGACAUAUAAGCAGUAGAUUGUGUCCUUCCAGAGGAGGAAAUCUACUUCUAGACUUCUAGAAUCCGCAUCUCCUCAUCCAUGGUGUCAUCGAGGUGAAAUGACGUCUAAAAGCCUUUCACUUGUUUGUCUCCGCCUCUGUCCUUGUCUGACUUCCUUUCCAGCACGGGUUAAUCUGUGCUGAAUUUAUCCGCCAUGCUCCGGCGUCCGGAAAAACUAGAACUCUUGUGAUCAGCUGAGGAGUCCGGCGAUCCGCAGAGGAACGGAAAGAAGUCGGUGUAAAUUGACACGUUAACUUGAAUGGUUACGAUCAGCUACGAUCGGAGGAUACGACCUUUUCGUAGACGUUUCGGAUGUGGUGGAGAUUGGGGGUUAGUCUCUGUUGACCCUAGACUUUUUUGCAGCAGCAUCACUACAGAAGUCCUAACAUUCAAACACUCUGGACUUAUUCCGGACCUCAAGACUCUGGACCUUGAUUUCCAAAAGAGGACUUUGGUCCAGCUGUUGGUUUUUGGUUGGGUCUUGACUUGGUGGUAGAGUUUAUCAUCUCUCAGGUUCUGCUGUCCACACGCUCUGAAUUAUAUCAUGAGUUUCUGUUCACUGAACCUGGACUAAGACUAUCAAGGACUAAGACGAAGAUUUACCUUUAUAGCGGUUUCAUCUCUAAUCACAAACCUUUGGAGAAGGAGAAUCUAGAUCAGAUUUUCACGCCUGAGACUGUUUCCUAAAAAACUUCAUUUGUUUAGUAAUUUUGUGUUUUUUGUUUUCGGCUGGUUGGCUCUAAAAACUGGACAAACCAACACUGUUCUUACCUUUGAGUGGAAGAAAAGGGGAAGUGAAGUCCAUCAUGCUCAAAAGAAUAAAACAUGAUUCCCGCCGUCGGGAUAUUUUGAAGUCGUACACAAAAACAAGCCGAGUUGGAAAUGGAAACCAGACAGCAGGGCGGCAUCUUAAAUCAAGUCUUUGAAAGAUUUCUUCUGAAGGAAUAACCAAACAAAUCCUGCUCCACGUGGACUCGCAGACCUCUUUGUUCCCUGAAGUUUCCAUUAUUCACACCGAGCUUUGCUUCCGGACGUGCCGACUGAGUUACAAAUAUGAAAUCAGUGACAUUUAGUUUUUUUUCCGCUCUGAGUGACAUUUCCAAAUAAGUCUUGUUUGAUGUUUUGGCUCUUCCCUUUCUCUUAUCAAAGUUAGUUUGAAAUGAAACAACCUUCUGGAGGCGGCGAUGCCCGACGUCCGACCGACCACUUUGGUCAGAAAUGAAGUUUCUCCGUCAGGAUCUGAGUUUAAAAAAGUUCACAAACAGAAGCUCGGCUGGAGCAGACGUUUGUUUUUUCUGAUGCCAGAUCAUAAAAGUGUUUUUCACUCUGUUUCAUCAUUACACUCAUGAAAAAAGGUGUAAAAUCCACAUUUAUGGACCUGGAACUGAAGAGAGAGCUGAACACAAAUCCAAGAGCAGAAAAACAACAUCAGUAAGCCCAACAGACUCUAUACUUGGAGCCGAGUAUAUACCCAGAUCUCCGUCUUGGUGCGUCUCAAACCUUAAAUUUCAGUUUCUCUAUAAUACAGCUUAGCUCUAAACCUUUAAAUGCUUAACGCAGCUUUACAUUUAAAGUAACGUUUGUGGCUGAAAACGGAGGAUGUCUCCCAGAUUACAGGAGGAAUACAACCGCUAACUUUGUCUUCAAUCCCGUCCAGAAGUUUCUGAGACUCAUCUUUAAUCUAAUACCCUACAUGUGUUCAUGAACAUCAUUCCAACAAAUCAUCCUCCUCCAUCAGCGCCUCUUAAAUAAGCUGCUUUUCCUCCACGCCUGUGAGAACGCCAGCGUAUAUACACAUUUAGACAUACAUUUACAUCUAAUCUCCAUGUUCGCAGCCGAUGUCGUCUCACAGAGCACGAGCAGAAUGAGCUGAAUCUACGAUAUAAGAGCGGCGCCAUCUCCUGAAAGUGGCCGAGACGUCAAUCUUGUCCGAGACAAUUCUAUAUAAUCGGUGAGGAGUGACCUCUGCGCCCCGACGGUCCGGGAACGGAGAUGAAAUGAGCUGAAUAUGCAGAACGAUGAAAGGUUCUUCUUUCGAGCGCCGUCUCAUCAGAAAUAGAUGACUUUUGUCUCGGCAUCAUUACUGAACCCUCCGACGGCCUUAAGCUGCAGAAUCAGUCAUCCGUACAAACAUUCAUCUGCAGACGCUCUUAGUAAGCAGCCGGGCCGCUCAGGCGUGAGCUGACAACAUGCAGUAGGUAUUUAGAAAGCAGAUCAGGUGAGAGCGAGCACACAGUCUUCAGCCAUAUGCUUUUAUUUGUGCAGCGGGGGUGAAAAGCUGCUCUCUGCUGUAUGUAUUUGCAUGUCAUUAGUCCGGGGCGGCACAUGCAGCGGCGGUCUGAACCGUUUCAGACUGCAUGACUCUGUGGGUUUGAUCAAGGGUGAUGGGAACAUGAACGGAUCGAGGAUUCAAGGGGCGGCAAAGACCUUAAAGCGGGUCAGCCGGUCCACCGCUUUGGUCUUGAGCUGAUUCUGCAAACAUGACGGAUCGAGGAUUCAAGGGGCGGCAAAGACCUCUUAGAACUCCGCAGGGGAUCCCACGUGACGCCAUUAAUAUUGUUUACAGUUUCUCAGGAUCUAUACCGUCUAUCUCUACGGGGUGAAAAGUGUUCAAUAGUUUACCCUUUUGGCGAUCUAUCGAGGGUUUCCAGACAUUUCUACACCUGCCACAAGAUUUACAAUCCAGCCUCAAAAACAGGUGUUUGAUCAGAGACGUUUGAUAGUGAUAUACCGGUGAAAACAGGAUUAUUGAUCAGAUUAUUGUGACAUAAAAGGUCAAGAUCGCUAUAUACCGCUAAUGUCUUCUGGGUUUGACGAACUGUUUUGAUGACGUCUUUUUCUGUUAAACUUUCGACCUUCUUCUAUUGUUCCCUUGACGGUAGUGUCCAAUAAGAGGCAACCAAAGAUCAACAAGAGACAAGAAAGUUCCCUGCUUGUCUGUAAAAUCAGAAAUAAUGGUCCUCAAUGUUUGGAAACAAGUAAAGAAGAGAUUCUGAGCAGUAUGAUGUGGUCCUCUGUCUCAUCAUAGGAGUGGCAGAAACAACUGUAAAUAGUCAAAAACGCCUGUAAGAAUGAGUGUAAAUAUGUCAACAGUUUCUGUUGUGUGUUUGUUCCAAUCCCAACAUUUCUUCUCCUGAUAGCCAAGACUUGAGAGAAUGAUGUUCAGGUGAGAAAAGGCUUGGUCACUGUAGAUUUAUGGGUUUUUGGAGAAAAGUUCUGUUGGGAUCAAUUUCCAUUUUUGUUUUUUUGGUUGACUUUGAUGGUUCUGAAUCUGCUGUUACAUUCAUUCAUGCUGAGGUUGUCCUGCAUAGAUUUUUACAAAAAACAAACAAACAAACAAAAAAAAAAAACCCCAAAAAACCAGACGGACCAAAAUAUAGCUGGGAGUUCCGAGGGUUAAAGAGGGUCAGCUAAUCCACUGCUGUGGUCUUAAGCUGACCCUGCAAACAUGAACGUUUUCAGUUGAAUCCAGAGACUCGGACCAGGUCGAACGGUUUGGAAGGUGGACUGUAGAGUCUAUGAUGUGGACUCUGACCGAGGAAACCUGUUGAUACCAGAGGGGGCUGUAACAGCGAACCCACCAGAGUCCAUCCUGACCUGGUUUUCCUCGUCGCUCCAUGAAACUUCAACAUCGCUUAACACACGAAGAAGAGCGGCUCUGACUGUAGAGGUCUGAGUCCAGCUUGGAAACAGUGGCGUAGACAAAGUUCUCCAACCCCAGACCAGCUGUUGGACCAGCAGAAGUCCAGCGAUGCUCCGAUCCCUGUCAGUCAGUUUGUUCAAAAAUCUGGAUCUUCAGGGUUCAUGUGAACUGGACUAAAGUGGACCUCUAGAUACCCCAGGAUCAGCUCCUCCUUCAUGUGCCAUCAUUAUACAAUCGAUCAGCUGAUGUUGCCCUGCGGCUUCACAGCGGCAUCUGUUAGCAUUAGCAUAAUUCCACAGGUUAGACGCGCCAGAUGGUUGUUAGUUUCGGUUGAACGGCUUCAGGGUUCAAUCAUAAGUAAGCCGAGACCACCUCCUUUGGGUAAUUUGUUUGCGGUUGCUGCCUUCACACGUGAACAAAAUACCCAUCCUGGGGGGACUACAACCCUGGGGUGAGAAGACCCUCAUCAGUUCUGGUCAUCUCGUAGUUUAACCAAAUUUAUGGACGAUUCUCAGCUCCAUCAUUUCCACAGCUGUUGAUUCCGCUCAGUCACCACCUCUGGAGCAGGUCUGACACGUCCCCCCUGGACUUAUUCUGGUCUCAAACCUCAGCCAAUCAUAAUGAGGUUUCCGUGGAGACCGGAUCAGCUGUAUGGCUCCAACAGAGGCCUUCAGCUGACACUAACACGAACCCAUCUGAGGUGUCUGAUGGAAAUACCGAUCACCCCUGACUAAUCAAUCAGACUGUUUGACACCGUUUCCCCCUGAACCCUGAGGAGCCUGAUCGAUGUCGACUGCAGCUGUGUGAAAAACGGUAUGUUUUUUCACCCUGUAAAUUCAAUUAAUAUCUUAAAAUAACCAAACUGUCACAUUUGUUCAUUUUCUUUUUAUUUUUAAACUCAGAUUUUUAUACAAACACAAACAAAAUGUCCAACCAGUGUGGCGAUUUUUUAUAAUAUGGCGUAUCUUUGGCGAAAGACUCUGCGAAGCUCUUUUGUGUUUCAUCUUUAGGUGGUGGAAGAGGUUGUUGGUGUUUCCUCCUCCACCGACGACAGCCACACGACACUCUCUACAUCAUUUUGUUUUUUGAUCGUUGUCGGAUUCUCUAAAUCCGAAGAAUCUCCAGACAUCAGAUGUCGCGGCUCGCUGCCUUUUUCAACAUGAGUUCCUCCUCCCCUUCUUCGUGUUGGGUGGGUCGGGCUGCUUCCGUUUGCUCGGUACUGCCACGAAUUUCCACGUCCGCCAUGACCACCACCAGUGAAGCAGUCUGCUGGACACGGUGGUGAUUAUAGGGAGCGCACCCAAACGGAUGCACUCCGGCUUUCCUGUGAGCGAACGCAGACAACUGCACACUGACUCAGAGAGACGCAGCAGACAUCUGCUCGCUCUCUCUCCAGUUUAAUCGGUAAUCAAAAUUCCUACCCUCAUAUCGCCCAACACUAGACUGAAUGAAUUUUUGCCUCCUUGAGUUUAUCUUGGACCCACAAUCCUGCUGCAGCCCCUCUACAUGAUGGCUUUGUUAACAUCUGGAGGCCUGAGCGGAAAAACCUGACCGGCAAUUUCCACCGCAUCCGGAACGGCUACGAAAAGGCCGUGUCCACCGAUCGUAGCUGAUUGUAACCAUUCAAGUUAAUUUGUCAAUUUCCAACGGCUAGACUCCGCAGCUGAUUGCAAGAGUUCUAUUUUUUCUGGACGCCGGAGCAUGGCGGAUAAAUUCAGCACAGAUUAACCCGUGCUGGAAAGGAAGUCGGGCACAGACACAAAAUAAAACAUCCGGCUUCUUUUCAGGAGGAUCGUACUUCACACCAUGCAAACGGGGCGGAAUCGAACAAGUGAAAGGUUUUUAGACGUCAUUUCACCCCGAUGACACCAUGGAUGAGGAGAUGCUGAUUCUAGAAGUCUAGAAGUAGAUUCCCUCCUCUGGAAGGACACAAUCAAGCCUUUGUGGCUAAAGACAUUGCGCAAUUGCACGUGAAUCAGGGGUUCUUGUGAGUUCUUGCGAUUCCUGCUGUCGGUAAUCCGCCACAAAAUUCGCCUCACAAACGGAUUCGGUAGGAAUUGGCAUAGGGCGAAAAUCGCAGUGGAAUUCCGGGUGAGGGUCCAUCCUCAGUAUCUCCUGGCGCUCCUCCUGAGUCCACAUUUCAAGACGAUGUUGCACCAGAGUCUGGACCUGCCGACAUGCCAGUAUCGGUAGACCCACUUCCUGUCCCAGUGGUUUGUUAAAGGGGUAUCCUGCUCCCUUUAAGUGAAGCCCAUCACAGGAUACAGAGUAAACACUGUGAACACAUGGAAACAGAGACAAACAGAGGAGGAGGAGGAGGAGGAGGAGGAGGAGCGGGGGAUGGGAGGACAUGUCAUUACCAUACAAACACAGGGAGGAUUCCGAGUUGGUAACACGCAUGAUCCUGGCUUUAUUUGACACAUCAGCUGUGAUUCACAGAGGACAGGUUUUUACAUCCCGGUGCUGUUAUAAUCCGCCAACGUGACACUCUGUAAUUCUGACAUAUAGCAUGUACAGCCUGGGGGUGUGGAGGGAUUAUGUGCAAUUUUGAAAUGUCACAGAUCAUCUUGUUGUCCAAAACAUGGGGAGCGUGUGUAAACAUGAAGAUGGAGGUAACGGAUGAAAUGAUGGAUGGAUCGAUUGACGGACACAUCUCUCCACGACGACGGCGGUGAUGGAGAGAACGAUGAAAACGACAGAGUGAUGAAAGAGCAGCCGAGGACGAGGAGAUUACUCCAGCAGAGAUAUGCUCUCAGUUUUACAGCCACACACCAUGAAUUAAGAAAUACGGCCUGACGCUCAUAUAAGCUGGAAAAUCUCCACCAUGCUGCGCGGAGAUCAAACUUUAAAGAAACAGGAGUUAUCCGAAGAUGCUCUGACUCGGGAACAGCAAAAACUUCAGGAGAUACUUUACAUUUCUUCUGUUCUUGUCGGCUUUAGUGCCAAAAUUAGAAACGAAAUCACCCUGGAAACCUUCCAGUUCAGAUUCAGUGUGUUUUAAAGAGGCUUAGAAAGAGCUGCAGACGAUAGAAACUCAGAUUAAUGAUAGAUCUGAACAGAUCAGAUCUGCUUACCGUGGAUUUGGAUGCAGAUGUUUAUGUAACUAAAUGGAUCUGAUCAGGUUGAUGCGUGGUGGAUCAGUUUGACAGUAGGAAGAGGAGAGUUUGGGUAAACAGGUGUCUGACCUGGCAUAUCCGACCCGGAAUGGCGGCAAUUUUCGCCAUACACCGAUUCCUACCGAUCCAUUUGUAAGACGAAUUAUGUGGCGGGUUACGGACAGCCGGAAUCGCAAACACAUAGACAUAUAAGCAGUAGAUUGUGUCCUUCCAGAGGAGGAAAUCUACUUCUAGACUUCUAGAAUCAGCAUCUCCUCAUCCAUGGUGUCAUCGGGGUGAAAUGACGUCUAAAAACCUUUCACUUGUUCGAUUCCGCCCCGUUUGCAUGGUGUGAAGUACGAUCCUCCUGAAAAGAAGCCGGAUGUUUUAUUUUGUGUCUGUGCCCGACUUCCUUUCCAGCACGGGUUAAUCUGUGCUGAAUUUAUCCGCCAUGCUCCGGCGUCCAGAAAAAAUAGACUUGUUUGUCUCCGGAUGUUUUAUUUUGUGUCUGUGCCCGACUUCCUUUCCAGCACAGAUCGGAUGUAAAGAAGUCGGUGUAAAUUGACACGUUAACUUGAAUGAUUACGAUCAGCUACGAUCGGUGGAUACGACCUUUUCAUAGCCAUUCCGGAUGCGGUGGAAGUUGCCAUUUAGAGCGCUCUGUCUCAGUCUAAACUUUGACAUCUAGUGUAAAAGAGCGUUUGCAUCUGUGUAUGUCAGCGUGGUCACUCCGGCGCCCGCUGUUCCUCAGACUGACUUCUUCAAAGACGUCUCCGUGUCGUCGCUGUUAUAAUCUGAUUUGUAAACACGACCGGCUGUCAUCUUCGUCUGUCAUUAAUUGUUUCCUUAUCACCUCCCCAAUAAUCCAAAGCUACGUGGGGCAUCAGCAGAAAAAACCUCUAAUUUAUGUAAAUCUAUUUAAAGCAGAGUCAAACCAGGAGAAUAUUUGAUCAGUCUGAGCCGUGUGAGGAUGUGAUCGGGUUUCCCAACCAGAGUCAGAAAGAGGAGGAUGACAGGAGAGGAGCCGGUGGAGAGUUUCCUCUAAAGAAGGGGUCCGGGUUUUGUUCAAGACUAAAUAAUGGUGAGAACAGUCUGAGAGAGAGAACUGAAGGGACUCCAGAAAUACACGUUUAUGCAAAGUGAGCGAAAUCACCGAGAAGAUGAUGAAACUAGAUCUGAAGAAAACGGUUUGGCCUGGUGGGAUGCGAUCUCAUCAGGAACCGUCUCUGACCACCAAAUUCACGGUACAUUAUUAAUGAGGACUUCUCAUCCGCCCUGUAGCCUCAAUAAAUGGAUUAGGUUUCAUCAGAGUCACCGACAGAAAUAUGAAACGAGAGGAAUUGGCUUCAAUCUGGUGGAGUUAAUGCUGCGUUCCAGUUACCUCAGAGGUCGGAUGUCAGAGCUGGGAAUGUUGUUACACCUGAGUUGAUGGCGUUCCAGUAGACAAGUCGAAAACCAAGAUGGACGCCUACUUACUCUAACAAACACCAUAACACCGUGUUCAUAGACGUUGGACAGUAAAAGAUAAACCACUUAUUUAAUUUCACAAAAACUAAACAGAAGUGCUAAUAAAUAAACAUUAAGAGAGCUUUUACUGUUACUUACUGCCAUCUUGAAUUAUGACCUUGUCGUCAAGUCGGUGUUGGCGAGGAUCGUCUGGCUUUCCGAGUCAGAAAUCCGACUUCAGGGGGGCGUUUCAGACGAAUUUCUGACUCGGCGCUCAGAAAUCCCAACUUCCGAAUACAACUGGAACGCAGCAUUAGUCCAAGUCCACCAUCCUUCAUGAUGCAGUGUUUACAGGUGUCAGUACGGGUCGGUUCACCUCAGUACCCGGGUCUGCUUAUGUCUUAUGGGGCUUUCAAAACCAAGCGCAAGUAGAAUCAUCUACUCGCUUAAUUCACAUGUAUCUAGACGCGUGAAUGAAAAGUAUGUACUCACUUCUUUCACGUGAAUGAUGAGCGCGUCAACAGAGAGCUCAAAAGUUAAGAAUAGCCGGUUAUGCUAUGUGGAUUGCUGCUUUGUUUUUGUUGUGAAAGGCUCAAAAUCGUCUGAGAUGUAGGCGUCACUGUGUCGCCCAAAUGACUGCGAUUGCCAGCGGUAUUUUCGAACCCAAUGUGACGACCUGUUGGUGAUGGUUGGUUCCAGGAUAUCCCUCCAGGAUACCGAUUACAGGCGCUCUAUCUCAGCUGCAGAGCGCCUGUCCAUCUGUCUACUGUGAGUAAAAGGAGUUGUGUUUCUAUUUUCACACUAGUAAACAUCUUCCACUCUGUUUUCGUACGACACCAGAGAACCUUCAUGCUGAUUCGUUAUCGCGACACGAAUAUUGGCUGGAGUUUAGAUCUUUUCAACUCUCACAAAUUUGUGUCCCCUCAAUUUCAUGAAUAACUCAAUCAAUUCAUGUCAUUCGUGCUUCCACAGUAACACGAGCGUAUAAUCGCAUCUUUGACUUCACAUGUAAAUCAUUCAUGUGAAUGAUUUUACUCUAGUGUAGUGUAUGCAGGAUGGUUUUUCCUCUGAUCACUGUGCAGGUGCAGCCCUGAGUGGAUCCUGCAGGUGUGCUGAGGUUCAUUUAUAUGACAGCCUUUGAACCGUCACAUCACCGUCUUUGUGUUUUAGGGCGAUGAAACGAUAACGAUAUAUAUUGAAAAUUAAUUUCCCUCGAUUUCAAUAUAAAACAUGAUCAAUAUGUUUUUGGAUAGUCGGCAUUCUGACAUGUUUUGGAAGACUGUACGAACAGCCAAUGAAAAGGGGAGUUUCUCCGAGUCCGCUUCGUGUGCUGAAUUAGAACCAAGUAUCAACCAACUGCAAAGUCAUAGCAGACAGCAGCUCCACCCAACCAUAGCACUUUAACAGGUGAAGCCGACAGCACUGUUGGUGAGAAACAAAGAAAAUGAGUGCUACCCCCGACAGAAACGACCAUGAAGGCUCAACAGAUGACGACCAUUCCGCUUUCUCUCACGUAACGCCCUAUGACAAAACGCCAAAAAGACACAAUCGACUGAUAUGAAAAAAAAAUGUGAUAAACUUUUUCCCAUAUCGCUCGAGGCCUUUUGUGUUUUCAUCAUCCAGGAAAGUACCAACUGUUACCAGGUUCAGGUCCAGGUUGGCAAGAGGACUUGGGUCUUUCCCAGCUGUAACUGUGAGAGAUGGUAGAUCCUGGACUGGGGUCUCCUGCCCGACUCAAGGGUCAAACCUUGAACCUUCUCGCUGUGAGGUUUCUGUUCUACCUCUAAACGGCCGUGAGGUGUCUGCAUGAUGAGAUAACCCUCUGAUGGAGUAAUGGAGCGCUGCUGGAGGUGGAGGAGGUGAUGAAUGAGGGUCCACAUCUGACACUGAUGAUAAGGAGUGGAGGUGACCGAGGAGGAGGAGGAGGAGGGUCACAUGGAGGGUCUCCAGAGAGGAGAAGAGAGCCGAGUUUGACAGGAGCAGGAGGAUUGUGGGAAUACUAAGAGGUGUGAAUGAAUAUGGAUCAGUCCGCCUGCUCGGACCUCGGAGCGGAUUAAUGAUCAGAAAUGAGUCACUGCUUCUAAUUAACGAGGAAUCUUGUUGGAAAUGAGGCGACCAUGAAGGAGCGCCAGAUCUCCGUUUUGCUUCCAGUCCUGAGUUAUUCCUCAUGUACCGCCUCUGUGAUUAAUGACCGCGCUGAUCAAGUUUGUCUCACAGAAAUGAGGAACCGUCCCAAAACCGGUCCCUCCAUCAGGAACAAACACCUGGGUCUCAUAACUUCAAGUCUAGGCGGACAAGAACAGGUACUUCCUCGCCGACUUUAAUCCACCUGAUGUGAAAGAGUAGAAGGUGGAGUUUAGAAGAUAACUCAAAAUAAACUCAGGUUAAGUCCCCGGAGCAGAAACACGUCUAACAUCCUGAACACGUUCGUGUCGCUGUUGUUAAAAGCCGAUCAACGCGCCGCUGCCUCGGAACAGAAAACUAAGCGUGCUGCGUCCGAACAAACGGCGUUUCCAUUUCAAAGUGCUCUCCUGUGUACCGACUCUUUUCACUUCUGCUCACGCUCUCCUCUCAGCAGGUCAGAGUUGGCGUUUCACAGCCCAACUUCACUCCCCGCUGCUUCUGUUUUUUUUUUAUUUUUUGGAGCGUGUUCACAGACCUGCUGGGAUCCAAGAAAAACUCAAACCAGAUCCAAACCGCGAGAAAAAAAUGCAUAAUUUACUGGAGUUUAAAGAAGAGUUUCUAAAGGAAACAUCUUCAUGUUCUCCUCCUGACAGCUCCUUUACUGAGGGAUAAAAGUAAAACAUAGGAUAACAAGAUUAAAAGACCAUGAACCCAUUACCAUCGGAGGAGCUUAAGCUUGAAAAGUCAUUGGAUGGAAGUCAAAUUGAGCGUGUACGGGGGAAGGAUAAGGCCGCGUUGUUUCCGAGGGUUUAUCUUUGGUUUUUCUUACAGCAGUGUUAGUGAUUCAUCUACGGAUAGUGUACAUUCUAUACAGUUACUGUCUAUAAUAUGUAGAGUCAGUGUCCAUUCUAUACAGUUAGUGUCUAUACUAUACAGAAAGUGUCUAAACUAUAUUGUCAGUGUCUAUUCUAUACAGUAAGUGUUCAUUCUAAACUGACGGUUUCUAUACAAUAUACGGUUGGAGUCUAUUCUAUAUACAGUGUCUAUGCUUUACAGCGCCCAUUCUAUAGAGUCAGUGUCCAUUCUUUACAGUUAGAGUCUAUACUGUACAGUCAGUGUCUAUUCUAUACAAUUAGUGUCUGUACUAUACAGUCAGAGCCCAAUCUAUACAGUUAGUGUCUAUACUUUACAGUCGAUGUUUAUUCCACACAGUCAGUAUCUUUACUAUGCAGUCAGAAUCUAUAUUAUGCAGUCACUGUCUAUACUAUACAGUCACUGUCUUUGGUAUACAGUCAGUGUUCAUUCUAUACAGUGAGCAUCUAUACUUUAUAGUCAGUGUCUAUACUGUACAGUCAGUGUUAUUCUAUACAACUAGUGUCUUUACUAUACUAUUAGUAUCUAUAGUAUGCAGUCAGUGUCUAUUCUAUAGAGUCAGUAUCUAUACUAUAUAGUCACUUUUCAUUCUAUACAGUCAGCAUCUAUACUAGAGUCAGUAUCUAUACCAUACAGCCAGUGUCUAUUCUAUACAGCCAGUGUCUAUUCUAUACAGUCAGUGUCUAGUUUAUACAGUCAAUGUCUAUACCAUAGAGUCAUCUAGAACACACAGGUCUUUACAGCACUUUACUUUUUUGUCUCCAGUUUUAAACACGUUUGUUUCAGAUACUUUUACUUUAUUUAUAUUUGAUUUUUUAAACCCAUAAUUUUUUUUUACCUUAAACUGUAUUUAUAUUUAAUUUUUCACUGAAUAAACUCUGAGUUUUUUUUUUAAAUCUUAAACUGUAUAAAUUUUUUUAAAUUAAUUUUUGUAACUGUAAUUAAUUUUUUGAACCUUAUAAACUCUGAGUGUGUUUUAUUUUUUAUUUUUGUCACUGAAUAAACCCUGACUGUGUUUUUUUUAAUCUUAAACUGUAUUUAUAUUAAAAAUUUUUUUACCUUAUUAUCUCUGACUGUUUUUUAUUUAAUUUUAAACUAUAUUUAUAUUUAAUUUUUUUACCUUAUUAUCUCUGACUGUUUUUUAUUUAAUUUUAAACUGUAUUUAUAUUUAAUUUUUUCAUUGAAUAAACUCUGACUGUGUUUUUUUUAAACUUAAACUGUAGUUAUAUUAAAUCUUUUCACUGAAUAAACCCUGACUGUGUGUUUUGAUUUUUUCAUUUCCACAGCUGCUCUCUCUUCAGUCUCACAUUCCUUCACAUCAGAAUUACAAACCCGCUCACAUCUGCCUCCUGCCCCCUUUUUAUCAACUCCAAUCCUCCACGACCUUCACCAGUCCCUCCUCCCGGUAUGUCAGGAAUGACACACACUUACACACUUACACAAUCAAACACACACACACACACACACACACACAUACGUAUGUAUUUCCGUCUAUCCUCAGGAUUAUUCCUCCUCCCUCCUCCUCCUCCGCUCACAGACCAGAAAACAGUUUCUCCUCCUCUCCACUCGCAGCCCUUCCUCCUCUAAUGUUCCUCUGAUCACUCUGAGUGCUGCUCUCACUCACACGUAUGUAAGGACUCACACACAUGUACGAGGACUCACACACAUGUACGAGGACUCGCACACGCUCUCUAAUGUUACGGUGCUUCGAUUCAAUCUCGUUUUAACCUUUAUGUCACCCUAUUUGUUUCCUCUCCUCUUGUUGUAAUUGAACAGGAAUGAUGGAGGAUUUCAUGUGAAUUGUUUUUAAAUGGAGGAAUAAUCGACUGUAAAUAUCAGUGAAAAUACUUUAUAUUCAUGAAGAGUCCGGAGUAGAUUUAGUGACAGUUUAAACGGUGAAGUAUGUUGUUAACGGAGAUCCAAACACAUCUGAGAAAAUUCACACUUCAAGCAGAGGAAGAGAAUCCGGACGUCUUAAUGAAUCUCCCCAGAUUUUACCGAGCGAAGCAGCUUCUUCUUUGGGAAUUCAGAAACUUGUGACUCUAAGAAGUCAAUCAAUUCACACAGAAGAAGAAGAAACAUCAAUAUUCAUGCGGAGACGGGCUGCCAAACUCACCAGCCUGAGUCCUCCUGGGUCCAGAACUCUCGUGUUGGUGCUGCUGGGAGGAAGAGAUGUUGGCAGACGGAUGACAGGCUGGGUGGUGAAGUGGGUAAUGUGAGGUUUUAAAAGUUUUAAAGGUAUCUGUGGAGGUUCGGACGGGUUUUCUCCGCUCAUGCUUCAUGAGGAAUAAGACCGUCAAAUCUUUUAAACUUUGUGUGUUUCUAAAAGUUGAUCCACUCUUUUCCAACUUCCUGUAACAGGCAGAAACCUCGAGCAGGACCAGACUGAUUAUGGACAGUAGGGCAGUUUAGAGGACCAGAGAAAACUACGGAGGCCGACAUGGUUUCGGCGUAUUCACACACCGAUUCCAUGUUCAAUUUAGUGGCUACCGACUGGCGGCGCCGGGAGUCAUUAACGCCGACAUGUUUUACAAUGUUACGGAAUUUACGUUUAGCCUUUGCCAGCAGUUUUAAACUACCUUCGAUGUCGCCCGCUCGCUAAUUUCACAUUUCAGACUACAGAGUCUAAUGUGGGCUUCUUAGGCCUGCUGCUAUUGCUUCCCUUUCACAGUAACCCAACCACUACUACAUCACGGCUACUCGGGAUAAGCUAAGCUAGGCCGACCCGCACCGGCUACCGGGUCCUGGCUGGCUACCGCUACUCUAGCGUACUCUAGCAUUGCUCCGUGUCCGCUUGGAGCUGAACCAAUCAUGUGCUGAAUUAGAGCCAAGUAUCAACCAACCGCGUUAUAGCAGACAGCAGCUACACCCAACCAUAGCACUUUAGCAGGUGAAGCUGAUGCUACCCCCGACAGAAAUGACCAUGAAUGAAAAAUUGAUCAUGAUAAAUUUCUUCCCGUAUCGCCCAGCCCUAUUGGACGGUCGUCUGGACUGGACUGAGCUGGUUUUAGAGAUUUUACACGCAUGUUCACGUCCUCCAAGCUCUCAAACGUUCCCUUCAUAUCAACCUUUAAUCGUCUCCAGAGAAACACCGCCUCCAUCAGAGUCGAGGUGGGCGUAGAUGUAUAACAGUAGAGAACAUACAGACAUCUGUUUAUGGAGGCUGGACAGUGGACCAUCUGCCUCAUACACAAACACAAUCAUGGUAACUCCUCUGCUUCUGUUCAGCUGUCACAGAUCCGCUCCAAUGACAGGAAACCUUCCCACACGUCCAGAGAGAACAAUCGAGGCGUGUUCAAACGAGAGCGGAGGAACAUCUGAGCACCUGGAAGAAAGAAGAACUUCAUGAAGAUCGACUCUGUUUGUUUGAGAAGGUCAGUUUUUAUUCAUGAAGAUCGACUUUGUUUGUUCUGGAGGAGUUAGGAGGAAAGUUUGACAUGAG
Molecule: non-coding RNA, 47112 nt
Organism: Xyrichtys novacula (pearly razorfish)
Lineage: Eukaryota; Metazoa; Chordata; Actinopteri; Labriformes; Labridae
Source: the annotation of a GenBank genome assembly